AGAUUUUUAGCUAACAUUAGAUUGUAACAUCAUUAACUGGUUUGAACACGAAGCAAUUUUUUACCAUCUUCAAAUUCCCUUUUUUUAUUUUUUUGCUUUCAAUUUUUCCCCAUUAUGGCUGGUAAUCCUGCUGAUAUAAACUUAUCUUUGCUGCAGCUUUACAAGACGAAGGAAGAGAAGUAUCUGCUCGACUUACAGAAGGUUAGUGGGCCGCAGCUCCUCUUCCUCAACUUGUGCGCAUCCUUCCUCGCUCAGCUCAGGGUCUUGUGAUGCUUGGUUGAUUGACAAUUACAUUUUGGGCUCGUUUGGUGUCCGAGGUUGGAUUGAACAAAGCUAAGACGAGAGCGCGAUAUUGAGGGGUGCGCGUAGCGACUCAGAGGCGGUCGAGGUGGCCAAAAGUUAGCAUCAUUAAAUCUGGUCGGUUCACAUAAUUCUUCCUGACCAACCCUACAUGCGGCGAUGCUUGACGCUUUUGACUCGCGCAUCCCUCGUUCUCUCUCAUUUUCGCUGUCUCAUUUUAUCCGGUUCAAUUCAGUCCUGGGUGGCAAAUGGGCUUUUUAUUUGUGUGUUAGAAUAUUGUAAACAUUUGUUAUGAAGCUGAACCUUAUAAAUGUACAUAGACUAACCUUACGAUGGCUGUAAGAAGCUUCUCCUUACUGAGAUUCCGUACUCUCUCUCUCUCUCUCUCUACCAGUUGUCAUAUAUCAUUGGCCAGUGCCCGCUGAUGGGCAAAUGCUGUAAUUAAGAAAUUGCACGUUGUUUGCUUGCAUAUCUGUUAGGAUGCUAUGGUCGUGUAAGCUUACGGUUAACUCAAAACUAGAGCAUUUUAAAGUGUUUUUGGCUCAAGUUGGGGGUAAAAGCAAAUAGAUAGAUGCAUUUUUUUCUGUUUGGGGGGAUCAUAGAAAAUAUUUAAUUGCCUUAUUACGGUAUGUCUAAUGUUGAUAUUUCGCGAAUAACAAAAUAGGAUAUUUUUUAAUUGUAAUUUUACUACUCUUUUGCUUGGGAUUAGAUUUGAUCGACGAUUAUGAGCAUUAUUAGAAGUGCUUAUUUUAUUUAUGGGAAAUUAAUCAAAAGAUAAUGAUCAAUAUGGAGAGAGUUAAAAUAGAUUACGAUAGAGAUUAUUCAAGGGAAAAAAAAAAAAAGUAAAAUAGGAAUUUUGAUUUCCGGUUAUAAACUGCUAGCGAGUGAGAAACCCAUAAAGAAUUUAAAUAAAGAUUUUUCAAUCGUAAGUUGCUUUUUAACUAGCACCUGUCAAGGAGUCUACUGAUGACAUGGUAGACCAAGUCUAAGGAAAAGACCGUCCCUGCGCCACACGUGUCAUACUCCCAUAGGUUACCCCGAAAUCCCCGAUCGCGGUGACUACGGUCGCGAAUCAUUCGAGAGCCCAAACGUGUUAGGAAUUCUAUACUACCACACAUCAUAUCAUUAUUAUUAAUAUCAAGUUAAUCAUUUUUUUUUUCAAAUAAAAUUAUAAUAAAAUUAUUUUUUUAUAAUUAUAAUAGAAUAUAUAUAUUUUUUUAAAUUUGUUUUAAUUUUGUUACGUUACGUUACUAAUAUAUUCAUUACAUUCUAGAAUUUUUUUCAAACGUGUAUGUAUAAUAUAAAUAAAUAAAUAUAAAUAAUAAUAUACAUAAAUAUCCAUAACAUAUAAAAUAAUAAUUUUAUAUAAUAUAAAUAUUUUGUAUAUACAAAAGGCGUGUGAGAGCUUCAACCUAACAAACACCCCGAAAGCACCCUCCUCGUCCGCAAAACCCCUUCGCUCCUCCUCCCCCCUCGAACUCCUACUCCGCCGCCGCGGCGAUCUCCUUCGUCUUCGAUCGGGAUCGGGACGAAGCGUGGAGCGAGAGUGGCGCCAUGGGAUGCUCCGGAUCCGCUCCGAGAGGAGAAGGUGAGCCCCUCUCUUCGAUCGAUCUCCACUGCUACUACCUCUUCUUCUUCUACGUUUAGUUCACAUGAUGAUGAUCCCUUUUCCAAUCGCCUCCUUGUUUCGCCUUUGAUGUUGCCGUUAGAAUCGUAACCGUGUUUUCGAUCCUACUACGAUCUCUGUUCUACGUAUUAUCAUUAUCUGUUUUUGAGUCGUUUGAUCGCGACUAGGAUCUGAAUUUUGAAUUUUGGUGUAUAUUGGCGAUUGAUUUUGUCGACUUAUGUUAGGUUCCAGUAGUAUGCGCUGGUGAAGUGUUUUACUAGCAAUUGUUUGGUUUUCAACGUAGAAAGAAGGUCGACGAACGUGGUUUUGAUGUUCAUUAAUAAAGUCGCUUACGUAAGUUUGAAAGUUGCGAUUUAUUAUUUGAUUAAUUAUCAGUGUGUUGAUGUCCAGUGAAGGAACAGAGGAGCAGCGUGCAUUCAUUUCUUUGUCACUGAAUUCGCCGAUUAGGUCUCCAAAUAAUGAGAUUUUUUAUGUAAUUCUAAGCGCACAGUUGCUUUUUCUAGAAUUAUUUGUAGGAAUCCUAGGUUCCUACACUUUCCCUCCGCCACCAUAUCUGGAAAGUAUGGUUGCUUUAAGUCCUUUUAAGUCCGGCAAGUUAUAAGCCCUUUAGGUCUUAAAGGACAGAGAUAUAAAUAUAGGAAAGAAGCAAUUAUUACUCUGAAUAAGAUGACGGAGAGAUUGUGGAAACAUAGAGAUGAGGGCGCGUUUGGUUCGCACUACAAAAGAUUAUUAGGAAUAAAAAGAUGGCCGAGAAUUUUAUUCCUAUUCAUCCUAUUACUAAGAAUGUGGUAUUCAGGUAUUUGGUUCGCACGGCCAUAUUAUUUAGUCAUGUUCUUUAAGAUUAUGAAAAAUAUAUAAUUAAUUUAUUUGUUUCGUUAAUUAAUUUUAGAUAAUGCUAUAAAAAAUUUCAACAUCUUUUUAGAAAAAAAAAAGAGAGAAAAUAGAUUAGAGAGAGAGCAUAAUUAAAGAAAUAGAAAGAGAAAUAGAGUCGAGAUUAGAGGGAGAGAGAGUUGAGAUUUUAGAAAAAAGAAAGGGAGAGAGCUUAGUUUAGAGAGAGAAAAAGAAUUAAAGUUUAGAGAGAAAAAGAUAAGUUUAGAAAGAGAUAUGAGGUUAGGGUGUAAAGGAAAACAAUACCAACUAGCUUGUGGAUGGGGAGAAAGAAAGAAAUUAGACAUAUUAUAAUUAUCCAAAUCCAUUAAUAUGAUGAUACAAGCCCUUUCUCAAAGAAAUGAUAUCAGUACUUUGGGAUGAAUCUCAUUCCCAAAUAAAUCUAAUAUUACCAACUAGAUUACUUAGUGCGUUGAGUCAAACACCAUCAUAUUUUUUUUAUUCCUAUUGGAUUAUUAGAAAUCUUAAAAAGAUAGCACGAACCAAACGCACCCUUAGAGGUUCUUUGAGAGGAUACAAAUGAGCAGGUGCAUAUAUAAGGGCAAGCUCUUGAUGAUUGAAGAAAGUAGAAUAAUGAAAUGGAACUUAUACAUAGCAAGAAACCAACUAAGACUCUGUCGACUACUUUUCAACGUUACUUUAAGGCAUAUAGUGCCAAAAAGUAACUAAAUCUUAACCUAAACUUGCUAACCUAUUAGUUAUUGCUAUCAAGUCUUGUAAUGAAAUUAAAAGUAAGGGAAAAAUUACUAUAUAUAUGGGGAAGCUUAUUUUAUCUAGAUUUUGCAUAAAGCCUCAAAUAUGAAUCUUUCUGCAUCUAGAUGUGCGACCAAAUUGGGCAUUGUCGUCUUCCAGCCUUCUACCGUAUUGGUAAAAUAGAACAAAAGCAACUUUAGGUAAGUUGUUUGUGAAAAUAUUACUGUAUGGCAGAUAAGAAAUAGCUUAAUAGAUGCUCCUUAAUUGCAACUUUAUCUGAUGAAACACACUAUGUUUCUUCAUGAAUGGUAUCUACAAGAUUACGUUAAUUUAUUUAGUACUUUCUCAAAUUGGAGGGUAAGUUUCUACAUUUCUUGACUGCUUAGUCAGAGAGCAAGUUACAUGUUUCUACUAGUAUUAGCUCAUCUGGCCUUCUGCUUUCUCUUUUUAGGUAUUAGGUAUGUGUGGCUUUUUUUUUUAAGCGGAGUGCUUUUGAAUGAGGUUAGAAGGAAGAAACUACACCAACUUGUCCAUUUUUUUGCUCUUUAUAAAGGCAUUUUCAUCAUUCUCUUCUGAAAAGGAAGUAGACAUUUUUUUGCUUUGAAACUAUUCUGGCUUCAAUUCUCUAAUAAAUGGCGUAUUGAAUUAACCACAUUGCUCGAAGAAUAAUGUUCUGUAUUGAAUAUUAAUUUGUUUCUUCCCUUUGUUUCUUUGUAAGCUCCUGUGGAGUUUGCUACAUACCAUAUUCAUCUUCUUUUCUUUUUUCUUUUUUUUUUUUGAGAGAGAGAGAGGGAAAGGUAGCAAGCUACCCACUUCAUUCAUCAGCUGUACCAUAUUCAUCUUGUUAAACACUAGUUCCCCUUGUGCCCUUUAAGUCUCAUGUGAUUUCUUUUCCUUUUCCAAACUCAUUCUCAGCUGACUGCCUUACUCUCCAUAGGUUAUUUUUCUCACUUUCUCAAGACCAUCGGAUAAUCAAAAAUACGCAUGUCUGAUGAAAUGGUUGUUGCUAUCUGCUUAACAUAUUCUAUAUUGCAUAUAUCUCAUUUCUUUCACUGUUGUUGUUAAAUGGCCCUCUCUUGUUCUUUAUCAGUUAGACAUGUUGGUUCUAGCAAGCAUGAUUUCUUUGGUGCUGGGAUAAAUAAGAAACUCCAAAAGCCAAAGCCUUGGAAGCAUAAUCAACCAAUAACCAUGACACAACUCAAACAGAUGCGCGAAGAGUUCUGGGACACAGCUCAUUUCUAUGGUGGCCAGAAAGGUACUUGCUUACCUUUUAACCGAAUGGAAUUGUCACUUUAUCGUAAUACUCUGUGUUAUGUUGUACUGUUGAAAUAAAUCUCUAUAUCACUCCCUUUUGUCGACUUUAAUUCUUCCUAAUCUUGCCUCUAAUUCUUUUGUUCACAUUCAUUCUUUCUAAUUUCUUACUGGCUCCUUGAUAUUGAAGUCAUUGGGAUUAAUACUUUUUUGCAGUUCUUUUUAUUUAUUUAUUUAUUUGUUUUUGUUGUGCAUCAUAUAGGAUUAAAAUUUCAUGGACAUCCUGUAACUAUUGUAAAAUAAUGACCAUUUUCAGAUCAAACUGCAUGCUCGCUGAGAUUUUAAAUGAAACUUGUGUAUGCAUUUAACCAUUACAUGCUGAGAUUUAAUUCCUUUUGGUGCAGAGAUUUGGGAUGCACUCCAAGCUGCAGCAGAGGCCGAUCUAAACUUUGCGCAAACAAUAAUCGACAGUGCUGGCAUUAUUGUUUCCAAUGCUGACAUGUCACUCUGUUACGAUGAACGAGGUGAGAACUUAUUUGUGUUUUUAUUUCUCAAUUUUCUUCCAAAAAAUUCCUCUUCCUCUUUUGUCUGGGUCUAGCUCGAGAAAUCUUUUCCAUAACAACUCUAUCGCAGGUGCGAAGUAUGAACUGCCGAAGUUUGUUUUGAGUGAGCCAACCAAUUUAAUUCGAGACAGUUGACGGAAAAUGAAGAGAGUAAGAGCAUAUAGUUAGUUUGACAUUAGUGUAAAUUAUGCAAAGGGCUAUUCAUAACAUAUUUUUUGCUCUCUAUUUAGGUUCGCAUUAAAUUCUCCAAGUUCUAGUGAAAAUUUUAUAGUAAACCUUCUGUUUUUAUAAGAUUAAAGAUCAAUAAUUGCUCUUAGCCUUGGAUUCCAACUAUUUGGAGAUUCUUUUACCUAGCUCAUGUUUGAAUAUAAAUUUCUUUUGGUUGGACUUGAAAAGGAAUAUGUCUUUGACCCCAAAACCAAUUCUCUCUCUCUCUCUCUCUCUCUCUCUCUCUCUCUCUCUCUCUCUUUUUGUCAGUAUGAAUAUUUUGUUCACCAUUUCUUUUGGGAGCAUGAAAUAAGUCGUUUACGACUGCAUAUACAUACUAUAUGUGAGUGAAACUUUAUUUUCCAUAAAAUAUGAUAAAUUAUCUCUUAGCUGAAAUAUAUAAUCUUUAAAAAAAAAAAUUCAUAUUUAUGAGGGUAUUUUGAUGGACUAAAAUUAGUUUUAGCUUAAAAUUGCAAGGGCUUGUUUCGGAUAUAUCAAUAUUUGUUUCGACACUUUUUUUUCGUUCUCUAAUAAUUGGUAGUUGAGAAGUAUGUUUAAAAGUUUAUGAUGAUGACUAUAUUCGGCAUUUAAGUUAUUUUUCACAAUAAUACAUGUAGAAGUGCUUCAUCUAAAUAAAUUGCGUCUUCCGAUACCCUGCGAUGGUCCAAAAGUAGCUCAUGGAUUUGUUAGCAAAUACGAAUUACAGGAUUUUGAUUGGUGCAUGCACUUAAUAUAGGUUUACUGUGAGAUUAUACAUAUUUUUCUUACCGCUGUUUGUUUUAAAAAUUUGCAACAUUUUGAAAAUCUUUUAUAUUUUCUAUUUAAAAUGUUUUUGCAUCUCAAAUUGUAAAAUUGUAAAAAGUUUUGUGAAGUUUUCAAAUCAUCAUCGAUUUCUGAUUAGUAGGAACAUAGCAAUAUCAUGGGCUAAACUAAGUGGUUUUGUCAUUGGAAUCCACUAACUAGAGCAUACAAAUUCCACCGAUCUUCCGAAUCAAAGUGGAGUGAUUACUUUCUGAUAAAUUUGUCAUUUAUUAAAGUAUAAAAUAAAAUAUGAUAUUGUCGAAAUAUUAGAAACUCUAGAACAUUAAAGCAUAUUUUUAUUUAUGCCUAAAUUGCAUUUUAGAUGCUCGAACUUUUGAGGGACGGGCCACGCUCUCAUCUUUAAAUUUUAAUUUACUAUAAUUUUUUGCUCAAAAUUUUUAAGAUACUAUAAGUAUGUCUUAUGCUGCAAAUAUGAUAGUGCUGUAAUUAUUGAAAUACCACAUUCUUACUACAGUACUAAGGGACCGUUCGGAUAGAUGUAAUUACAAAUGCAGCAGCAGUGGUUGGCUGCAACUACAAAUAAUUUGUUUGGUUGUAUAUAGUUAAAAAAUAAUUUUUAAAAUUUUAUCGUUUUAUAUGCAUGAUGAUGAGAUUAUCUCCAACAUAAAAAAAUAUAUAUUUUUUGUUUAAAAAAUAAUUAAAGAUGUAAGCUUACCUUUUGCUUAAUGUUACUCUCUACAACUGCUAUAAUUGGAACUGCAGUCAAUUUGAACUCCUACUGCAGCAGCUGGAGUUAAAUAUAUCAAAUCAAACACCGAAUUUGUAUAUGUAUGUAAUUAUAACUGCAGUGCAGUUACAACUAUAUGCAACUAAAUGGCCCCUAAAAGCGAGAGACUAUAAACUAAAUUAUAAUAAUUCAGGCCAAAAUUAUUAAGCAUCAAAGUUUUGAGUACCAAACGUUAGAAUUUACCCAGCACUAGUACGUCAUCUAUGUUUAAGUAAUGGUGACAUCCCUAUAUAUAUCAGCAGAGAACCCCACCCAAUUGAGCGCCUCCUCCAUCGCCCUCAGAAGCGCCACGAGCUCCAGCGCUAACCCUAACCCUACCUCCUCGUCCUCGUCCUCCUCCCCCUCCCCACCAUUCCCGCUCCCCACUCCUCCGCCGCUCCUCCUCUCGCACAACUCGAACCUACAGAGCGGGCACCUCCCAUGGCUCCUCACCCAGGGGGCGACGCAGUCGCCGUGGAACACGUGAUCGCAGGGCGUGACGAGCACGCUCUCCCUCGCUGCGAAGGCCUCCAAGCAUAUCGUACACAUCCCUUCUCCCUCCUCCCCUUUACCCCCAUUACUACCCGACGACGACGACGACGACGACGCAGCCCCGCCUCUUCCCUCGCGGGGCUUCGUCUUCGUCUUCGUCUUCGUCGUCGUCUUCUUCUUUUUAGGGUUGUACACUUCUUUCUUGAGCUUCCCCAUCGCCGUUUUGAACUCCUCCUCCGUGAGCCCCGGCUCCUCCCCCGGGAGGUUCCACUCGCGCCGGAUCCGCGGCGGCGAAUUGGCGAGGAAUUCCCGGAGCCUAGGGUUUACCCCGCGGCCACCGGCGCCGUCGCCGUCGAGGACGCGCGCUGGUGCGUACGGUUGUGCCGGGAACCUGUUCGAUAGAUGUUCUGAGUGAAUCCAUUCAUUCCCACACUCGCAUAACAAACACAAGUGGCCACGGCACUCGGUUUGGUUUCAUUAAAAAAAAAAUGGUGGUUUUUUUAAUGAAAAUCUCUUUUUUCUCCAAAAGUAAUUAUUUAGAAUUUUUUGAGUAACCAAACAGUGAAACACGCUCCAAAUCAUUAAAAUUUAAUUUUUAUUUUACUUAUGUCAAAUUGACCCCAUUAAAUAUUAUUUAACUUUUUAUUGGGAGAUUCGAUAUAAAUAACUAAGAAAAAACUUCAAAAACCCUCAUGUGGUUUCUCACUUUAUCACUUUAGUACUCUGUGGUUUAAAGUGUUUCAAGUCAGUACCCUGUGGUUUCUCACUUUAUCACUUUAGUACCAUGUGGUUUAAAGUGUAUCAAGUUAGUACCAUGUGGGUGCACUUUAUCACUUUAGUAUUCUGUGGUUUCACACUUUAUCACUUUAGUACCUUAUAGUUUAAAAAACUACAGGAUACCAACUUAAUACGAAAUUAAAACCACAAGAUACUAAAGUGAUAAAGUGCAAAACCACAGGGUACUAACUUGAUACACUUUAAACCACAGGAUACUAAAGUGAUAAAGUAAGAAACCACAGGGUACUAACUUAAUACAUUUUAAACUACAGGAUACUAAAGUGGAAAAAUUGAAACCAUAAGAAGGGUUUUUGAAGUUUCCCCAAUAACUAAUUUAGUUGUCGUGCAAUUUCGUAGAGAGACUAUAGCUAAAUCAUUUGCUAAAUCAUCUCUUUUAAUAUAAUAUGUACUAUAAUCUUCAGUCUUAAAUAAAAAAGUUUGUAAGCUGAAUCAACCUUCACAUUAACAUAUCUAUGGUCAUCUCGUUAUUGAGAAUUUUUAUAUAUAUACAAAUUAUUUGUUCCAAACAGGCAUAACAAUAUCCAAUCCCAUCUGUCCAUAAUAAAAAUAUAAGUAGAAUACCUAGUGCAAAAAGAACUUUCUUGUGUGAAAGAGGGAUCAACAAUGACCCCAUGUGCGAUAGAUUUUUAUACCUUGCUAGCUCGUAAGGCCCGCUCCUUACUCUCCCCUCGAAGAGUCUCCACGGGUGUAAAUCCCUAUCAUCUUCUUCCUGAGUAAUACGUCAAAAGCAAUCACCCUUUUUUUUUUUUACACUUUGAAUUGAAUUCCUAUUUAUGAUACUUUACAUAUACAAAUCCUAGUUGUGUAAAUAAACUUUGUGGCCUUAAAAAAAGUAAAAAAAAAAGAAGAAAAAAAGGUCGAGGAGUUAUGGAGGCUUCACCAUUCUGUGGUAGAGACUCCGUGGAACCCUUACUGCCCAAUUUUGGUGGCCCUGAUGGUUAGGCGAGGCCGGUCGAUGCUCAUCGCCUGGCCUCCGGCUCUCCGGGCGGGCCAAGGCCAGGCUGCGGGUCAAGACGGGGCUGUUCGAGCUCAUCGCUCCGGGCCUCCGGCUCUCCGGGCGGGCCAAGACGAGGCUGUUCGAGCUCAUCGUUCGCCGCAGCUUCGACUCAUAAAAAUGUAGGCAAUGGGGAGUUCUAUAUAAGGGACUGGAUGUUCCAUUGAAGUUGUUCUUAUCCUUUGAGCAUAGAAUCUACCUUUCACAGAGUAGCAGAUGCUUCAACACAAAAAGUAUCAGAUCAGAUGCUCUGGAGGGACACUUGAAGGCAGACUAAUGGCGAAGCGAAAAAAGAAAGGAUUCUGCUUUCGAUGGUGGUCUUUCUUUUCGCCGAGAGGGUGGUGGUCUUUCUUUUCGCCGAGAGGGAUCGGAUUCGGCUUAGUGCAGCCCACCUAAUACACCGGAUUUAGAUUGUUCUUAUGCGAGAUCGUGCUAUCGACAAAAAAGGUAUAUUAAACUAGUCAAAUCUAUUGCAUGAAUGAUAAUCAGGUUCAGUAUUUCUGUUCCGAUUACGAACGUUUUCGCAACAAUCAUGUUCACUUUUAGGCCCUCGCCCUCUCGGCCAAAUCUUUUAGCUAGAGUUGAUCGGAGUGCAUGAAAACAGAAAUGGAAAAGUCUGUCAACAUGACAAUCCAUCUAGCAUGUUGAUUGCACAAAUUUGUUCAUCCAAUAUUUUGGCAUCAAUGCCAAGCACACCACAUCCUUCAUUUUGCCAUUUAAUUUAACACUGUGCAAUUAUCAUACACCAACAAUUUCUUCAGGACAAUGAAGCCAGGGCAGAAUCAAACGAGUUUUGAAAUUUGAUACGACAAUAAAAAUGAUCAUACUAAUUACCUUAAACAAUCAGCCAUACGUACAAUGGUUGAAUGUGAAAUUGAAAAAAAAGGGGGAAAAAAUAAUAAGUGCAACAAUAGGGAAAUACAGCAAGAAUCUUGUGCAUCAUUCCUGCAAAAUAAUUUUUUUUUUUCGAUCCUACAACCUAAUCAAAUGUAGAAAACCCUGGACGCGAUUGCGCGAUUGCAUGCACCUUCUUCAAUUGGAGGAAGAGAGGGUAAGUUUAAGGAAUUAAGCAAUGCAAAACUCCAUGGAGGAAGAGAGGGUAAGUUUGAGGAUAAGUUUUCCCUACUGAAGAAGUUGGUCUACACUUGAUACUUGCAGAGGUUUUCAAAUCCCAUGUACUCGUUGUGCUCGAUCUUCUUGAUUAUGUUAGAGAUACCAACUCCACCUGUUGAUUAAAGAGUUUUAAAGAGUUAUGGUAGCAGAAUAUCACAAGCAACUCUAGAGAGAGAGAGAGAGAGAGAGAGAGAGAGAGAGAGAUACCAAGUGAAAUUGCACUGACAAAGAUUGUGAAAGCCAAUAUGAAGAUGAUGAGUGAUGCCCUCCCCAUCAAAAUGAUCAGUUUCCGGACCACAUGCUGGCCAAUGAAGGCGGCGACGGUCCCCACGGCAAUCAAGUAAAUUGCUGCAACCGAAAGAAAAUCAUCCUAAUUUAUAUUCUUCUACAUAAAAUGAAAGAGCCAUCCAGGAACAACCAUCUAGCUCAAUUGAAUGACCAGGGUAAAAAGUAAAAGCGACAAAAGAAAUGAAAAGGAUGGACUAUAAUACCGUAUGGGACGGGAAAACGUUUUAGGAGGUAGUAUUCUACAACGGACAUCGACGAGGAAAAUGUCAUGGCGAAGGUUGCGGUAGCACUCGAUACCUGCAGGAAAUUUUCAGAGUUUCAAAUGCCAGUUAACAAGAUCACCAAUACACAGAGGCUGAAUACAAAAUCUAGAAGGAAACAGAUUUGAGUAAAAGGGAAAUGCAACAAAAGAGAAAAAUUAUUUGUGUGUUUUUAAUAGCAAAGAGUAGGUGUUAUCAGUUAAUAAGUACCUGUGGGGGGAUACCCAGCUCCAAAAAGAGUGGACCCAUAAUAAAUCCUCCCCCUAGACCAAGAAGACCCCCAACAACACCAGCAGUGACACCACAUAGACAAUAAAUAAACAGCUGAUGAACUUUCCAGUUAGUCCCUUCGUCCCCUUUAGAUGCUAUUACUCUCCUUCCUUGAUAUAAGCUUGUUGCUUCGUAUAAGGUUACUCCGACGGAGACUGGGACCUGUUGAAAAUGGCAUGUCGAUCAAUAAAACUUAUUUUUCCAAACCCAUGGAUCACUUAAGGUAUCGUUUGGUUCGAAAAUAAGCAAAAAAUGGCUAUUCCAAGAAUAGGUAUAAAUUGAGAUAUAAACGGAGAUUAGAUUAAUUUUGCGUUUGAAUGAAAAUUAGGUUAUUUCUGAAAAUAAAAAAAAUAACGUUUGGUUAGGUAAGAUGAAUAAAAAAAGAUAGCGGAUUUUUAUAAAUAAAAAAUAAUGAUAUUACCCUCUUAUUAUAUUUGAAUUUGAAUUUUUAAAUUUAAAAUUUUAACUUUGAAAUUUCAAAACUUGAAAUUAAAAUUUUAAAUUUUAAAUAUCAAAUUUUAAAUUUCAAAAUUUUAAAAUAUCAAAAUUUAAAUUUAAAAUUUAAAACUUAUAAUUUAAAAUAUAUUAACUUAUUUAGAUAUUACCAAAUUAUAAAUUUUAAAAUUUAAAUUUUAAUUUUUAAAUUUUAAAAUAAGAAUAGGGGUGGGAACAAUUAAUAAAAAUAAUUUAUUAUAAUAAAUUUAUAAAUUUUUUUAAAAUUCUACGUAAACUUAAAUUUAAUAAAAAGAAUUUAUUAUAAUAUUUAAAUAUAAAUAAUACGUAUUAAUAUAGUACAAUUAAUAAUUUUAUAAUAAAAAUUAUGUAUUAUAAUAUAUAACAUAUUAUAUUUAUAUAAUUUAGUUUUAAUUCAAUUUAUAAUUUUAAUUAAGUUUGAAAUUAAGUAUUGGAAUAGUACUAUUCCACCAAAAUGGUGGAAUAGUAAAUUCCUUGCUAUUCCAGGAUAACCGUGAAUAGCAAAAUUUGAUCGGGAUAAAAUAUCCCGGUAAAAUAUCAUCCCGUUUGGCGGAAUAACGGGGAUAACUUUCGUUAUCCCCGCUUAUUUUCCGAAUCAAAUGGCGCCUAACGGCCUAAGGAUCUAAUCAUCCCAGAUGGUAUAGAAGUGAUUUUUGCGAAGAGCUAUUCCAAAAGACGCUUAUAGUCUUUUCGCUAAAAUCAUCCUCUUACAGCUUCCAACCAAAGGCCAAAGCAGAAACUCUGAACUAGAGCUUCUGUUUUUGGGGUCCAAAACCUCAUUAUGGCUUCCCACCACUGCACAAUCAUAUUCUUACGGCAUCUCAAGGUUAAUUUUGUUGUUCCGGAAGCCUCAGCAAACAGGUGUUAAAAAAUUUAAACAAGGAUUGGCCAACUGUAGUACCUGAAGCAAGUUAAUAACCCAAUACCAUGUGGAGCAUGUUGGUGUGUAGUUCUGCAUGUAUUAUAACCCAUGUGAAUAUCCUCUAACAUAAUCUAAGUAGCCGAAGAAAUUAUUUAAAAUCACCACAAAAGUAACUUACCUUUGCAACCUGCAAUACAAGGAAUGCCAUCCACACAAAGACAAGAAGACCAAGCUCCUUCCAGCAUACAUUCUCUAGUAUUGGGACCUGUGAGACUUAAAAUAUUAGCCUUCUAAUCUUUGAGUCAUGACAAUUUAAUUUAAGGAAUGUUUGGCACAGCUAGACUUUUGCAGAAGUUUUGAUUGAGUUGAGCUUUUCAAAAAUGCACCAGCAUCUUCAUUAAAAUCCACUUAGGGACCGUUUGGUUAGAUGUAAUUAUAAAUGUAGUGUAGUUAAAAAUGCAUGCAGUUGAAAAUGUAGCAGUUACAACUACAUGUAUCUUGUUUGGUUGGAUGUAGUAGAAAGCGCUGAAAGUAUAAAUAAUUUAUUUGGCUGCAUGCAGUUGAGAAAUAAUUUUUAAAAUUUUAUAAUUUUAUAUAUAUAAUGGUGAGAUUACCUACAAUGUGAAAAAAAAAUAAGUUUUGUUUAAAAAAUAAUUGAGCAAGUAAGCAUACCUUUUAUUUAAAAUUACUCUCUCCAACUGCUGCAGUUGGAACUACGGCCAAUUUGGGCGUAGUUCGAACUGCUGCAGUUGGGCCUCCUCAUGCAGUUUUUACUGCAGCAGUUAAAUUUAAAUACAUCAAACCAAACACCGAAUUUGUAUUUGCAUACAGUUACAACUGCAGUGCAGUUGCAACUACAUGCAACCAAACGGCCUCAAAGAAACUUCAAAUUGAAGCUUCUAUCUCUAGGACCUAGAAGCUCCUCACUUCAGCCUCUUGCUGCAGCAGAAGCACCGAGUUUUUGGUUUGGCAAACAUCUGGCAGGUGCUUUUUGAGAGUAGAGACUAGAGAAGCGGUUUCAGCAGUCCAGUAAAAUGCAUAGAUAUUCUCUCAUGUUACCUCUCGGUCGCCAUUCAUCUUAGUCACGUUUCGCUCACCAUUGCCUGGACCAGAAGGACCAGAAGGAAGUGGUUGGUAUUCCACUUCACUCGCCCGACCUGCAAAAUAAGUAUCACAAAAAUGAUCAAAUGUUUCUGUUACUGAGAGGAAAUGACAGUCGGAAUAAUUUGAUUAUAUUUUGCAUGCUUACCACUCGAUUCUAAGCGUUUGGCGGUCUCCUGAGAUGAGCAACCAACAUGAAGUAAAAUUAACAUCAAAUUAGAGCUAAGGAGUCGGUCGAUAAUGAGAUGAUGAUUAGAGCGAGAAGAACAUUACCUUCUUGAUAAUUGUCUCUUUCUUCCAACUCUCCACACCCUUCAUAAAUGCCUUAAUUGAUGUGCCUACAAUGUGUUACUAAAUUAAGUACAGAGAGUUUAUUUAAUCGUAACAAGAUCAGAAACAUCACAUUUUCAAACGACCGAAAAUACCUAAGAAGAGGAUGAUCAGAAGCACGGUGACCAUCCAGUCGGGAAAUAUUACAUUAAAUAUGACACCGAGGCUGAUUCCGAGCAUAAGCAUGGGUUGGACAAGUAAUGCCAAGUCGUAAUCGAUAAUUGGCAUAUCCAAAGUUGGAUGCCUCAGCUUGAGAUUGUAGUAAACGGUCGAUGCGGCUGCACCCAUGAUCAUACCUGGCCAAAGAGUGCAAGAUCAGGAUUUGAUCUCAGCUAUUAAAUUGUACGCAUUUUCUUCUGUUUAAACGUUUGAAUCAACACAACCAACAUGAAAAAGGAAAUAAAGAACAUAACUAACAAUACAUGAUGAUCGCAAGAAAUAAGAAAAAUGUUAAAAGUUACCUUGCAGUUUACUUUGCUUUCAGAAAUUUGCAGGUAGUAUUAACUAUUAACAGAGCUUAACAUUUUCGUUGAACAGAAAAAAAACAUAUGGAAUAUUCCUUUCAGAUAAUUGAAUUUUUCAUUCGAUUAUGGCAUGUUUUGUUGAAAUAAGUUUUAAAAAAUACUGUCAAGUUCAUAAUUAAAUGAAAACAACAGUACAGUUAAAUAGUAGAAUCAAAAUUGUAAACUUCAAAAAUCAAUUUCAAAAUAUGCAGUAGUUACCGACCGUCCCUAGAGCAAGUGGCAAAGAGCUUGGUGGUUGGUACCCGAGACCCAAGUUCGAAUUCUAGUUGAUUCACAUUUCUAGCUAAGUUUAUUUCUAAAUGGAAUAAAUGAAGCGGAUAGCGUGCUAUCUACCUCUCAAAAAAAAAAAAAAAUGCAGUAGUUUAAGUAAUAUCUACACAUAACCCAAAACCCAGUGUUUGAUUUAUUCUAAAUCUAAGCAUAUCCCCUCUAUUCCUUAACAAACUUUAAUCCCACACAACUCAGGAAAUUGCAACAAUUAAUAAAUGCAGGAAAUUAAGAGAUUAAGACAGGGAAAAGAAUACAAAAAGUGGGUCAUAGUUGCAAUAAAAGCAGAGAUUGUACUAAAGAGGUGCUUCAGUUGAAAACAUGACACUUUACCAAGGUAAUUGUUGAGAUUGAUAUAUUUCUCAAAAAUUACGGUUGCUUCAGCUUAACUAAAUAUUAUAUCAAACAUAUAUAUUUUAUUAAUAAUUAUCCCAAUACUAUAUGUAAUUGUACACUUACUAACAAAAUCAAAGAUUCCAAGAUAGUAGGAAUAUUCAUUAAAUUAAAAAUGCCAUGGCAAAUAAAGUGACCCUUCUCAAACUAGUGGUAAACUUCAAUUUAUUAUUCUGUGGUUUAGCAUGUUUCCACUUUACCAUUUUAUAAUUUAAAAAAUUAUAGUUAACUACCAUUUGGCUUUAUUUUUGUUUCGAUAUCAGUCCAGCUAUAAUUUAUAAAAUAAAAUAAUAAAAUAAUAUCAUUUGCAAAAAGUAUCGCUUUGCCAUCCUAUUUAAUAAACAGGGCAAUUACUUAUAUACCUUGAAAAGUUUUCGUCUUUCUGAUUUAUCUCUUUUAGAAGGCUAAUAUUAAAAAUAUUUUUUUAAUGUUUCAAGUUAUUUCAAAUAUACUGGUAGAAUUAAAUUCUAUUAGUGAGCUGUUAGCAACAACCUUUAUCUCUAUAAAAUUACUAUUUUACUCUUUCAAAUAUUCUACUACUGUUACCUACUUUUAUUAUCCCUAUAGAGACAAAAGAAGUAUUUUAAUUUUUUGUCUUUUCAAUAUACCUUUCUACCUUUACCGGCUUUUCUUAUUUAUCCUUAAAAGAAGUAUUUUAAUUUUUUUUAACUUAGAUAAAAAUUUAAUCCGGAUUUAAUCAAAGAGUAAGGAUUUUUUUCAGAGGCAUAAUAAAGAAUAAAACUAUAAAAUAAUUAAGAGAUUUUACCCCAAAAACUAAAAUGGUGAGCAUAAUAAGAAAUUGAAAUAAGAGCUUACAUUUUGAUAAUGCGGUAGAGGAUUUGGGAUCGAAUCCGAUAAUCAAAGUAAGCAUGGGAACGAAAAUCCCUCCACCACCGACUCCUCCCACGCUCCCAAACGCCGCUCCCAUGAAUCCGAUCACGGAUCCCAACACGAUCCUCCACCCAAAUUCCAUAGGCUAUUUUCGAAUUCAAAUCAAAAAAACGCAAACAAAUUCAUCUCAAAUCAAAUUCAAAUCCAAUUUUCAUCAACCAAAAAAAAAAAAAAAUCUGAUUAAAUUUACCGGCCAAACGUGUUGGUACGAGGAUCCAUCGGAUCGCCACAGAAAAUCGGCGAGCCGGAGGAAGUAAUCGGGGACGAUCGAGCCGCUUCUAGAAGCUUCUCCCGAGGCUUCGACUUCGGAUCGGCGAUCCGCGGACGCGAUCGCCGAGGCGAAGAGGAGGCUCAUCCCCACCGCCGCCGCCGCCGCCGCCGCCGAGGAAUCCGAUCUCCGACACCAUUUCCUCGCCAUGCGCCGCGAAAAAGAAAAAAUCGGGAAAUGAUCGCGCGAUCCCGAGCCCGAGCGCGUAGGGCAAAGAGACGAGGAGGAAGAGGGAGCGAAGCGCCGAUCAAAUCGGGGCCAAAUUUAGGAUCGGGGGAGACGACGACGAAGAAAUAGAGGAAGGGGGAAACCGUAUCGGCGAUAUAUCGGCCGAUAUUCGGCGAUUUAUCGGGGGAUAAUAACGUUUCGGAAUCGGCGCGUCGGAACGCGAAACCCGCUACGUGAUCGGGAUCUCAAUAAUGAAUAAACACUAGAACAUGGAAGCGGGAUCGCCGCUUUAUAUGAUCUAUAUAUAGAGUGGGACCUCUUUACGAAAAUGCCCUUGAUGUUUUGCGUAAUUACGAUUUUGGGACAGAGGAAGUGCAUGUGCGGUGGACCUGCGUUACCUGCGUAUGCGGGUACGCGGUGAUAAGUAGCGGUUCGUAUCAGAGAUUGGAUGGGGUGCAAUAAUUUGGGGAGUAUUUUUUGCUUUCUAGCGCCUAACCUUUCGGAUAUUACAAAUCAGUCCAUCAAUUUUUUUGUAAACAAUACUAUAUCGCCUCAAACUAUGUUAGUCUAUUUAAAAAAAGAAAAAACUUUAAAUACCACCCCUAUGGUUUCACGCUUUCUCACUUUAGUACCCUAUGGUUUAAAAUGUAUCAAUUUAGUGCCAUAUGGUUUCUUUUUUAUCUUUUUAUUAUCGAUUUCAUUAAUUUUUUCGUUAAAUUAUUGACAAAGUUAAAACUAAAGGUACUAAAUUGAAUAUUCCGUAAAUUUAGGUAGGAUAUCUGAAGUUUUUUUUUAUAUAAUUUAACAAAAUAUUAACGAAAAAACUGACGAAAAGAUAAAAAUAAAACCACAUGAUACUAACUUGAUACACUUUAAACCACAUAGUACUAAAAUGAGAAAGUGAGAAAUUACAUGAGUGAUAUUUGAAGUUUACCCUUAAAAAAAAAAGGAAAUUUUAGUUUAAUACAUUUUUUUACUUUACUACCUCAUAGCUAAAAAAAAUGGUUAAUUUAAUACAGAUUCCUGUAAAUAUAGUGAAUGGUAAAUAUAUCCCUACAAAGUUUAACUUUUAUAUAUUGUUCUUGCAAUCAUAAAUAUGCCCCAUCAAAAAUCACAACAGUAUAAUAUAAGAGGGGUAAAAAUAUUAAAAUCUAAUCAAAAUUAAAUAUUUAAUAUAUGGUUAACUAAAUAUUUUUAACGGAUUCUAAUAAUAGGAAUAUAUUUGAAGAUAUUAGGACUUUUGCAGAGACAAAUGAAAGUUGAAUUUUACAAGAAUAUAUUUACCAUUCAAUAUGUUUGCAGAGAUCUAUAUGAAAUUAAUCCAAAAAAAUUGUAUCUAACUACCAUGUGAAUUUAUUUUUAUUUCACUAAAAAAAUAUGUUGGAAAUAAAAUAGUAAAGUAAAAUUUUCUAAAAAUUAUAAGUUUGUACUCUAUUUACCAAUACGUCUUUACAGAGAAAUAAAAAUAAAAUGACUUAAUAGCCAACUAUAGUUUUUUGGAUUACAGAAUAAUAAAAUAAAAAUAUAUUAAACCACAACAAGACGUUUUAAACUGUAUACUUAUGUAUUAAUUAAUUUAAUUUGGUCUUACAAAAUUAAAGGGUCCUUAAAUACCAAGCUGGCUCUAAAUGUAAUUAAUUUGAUGAGUACAUCAUCAAUAUUGGUUAUACCAACCAAACCAUUAAUAAGGAUAAAUGAAGUAUUUUAAUUUGAGUAUUUUACAAGAAAAGAAAAGUACAUACAAAGUGUCACAUCAUUAAGGUCAAUUUAAUGAUUUUUUAAAAUUUUUAUAAAAUAUUUAAGAAUAAAAAAUAGAGCCGUAUUAAUUUCAACCACUUAUAUUACUCCUUCACUUUGUGAUAGAUACUGGAGUGGGUAAGCUUUUUAAAAAAGGGUCACAAAAGCAAAAUAAAAGAAAAUUCUAUAACAUUUGAGAAAAAAAAAAAAAAAGAGGAGCCUUUUUUGCAUUAAAAAGUUUUAUAUUUUUGUAAAAUUUAGAAUACUUUGUAAAAAUUAUACAGAUUUGAUCCAAAUUUAUAAAAUAUACAAUAAAUUAAUUUUUAUUAGAAAAAAAUUUGCAUGAAAAAUCUAUUCCUUUACUCUACAUACAGCGAAUCUUACCUGAAUUCGGAUCUAUAAAUAAAAAUUUAAAAUUAUUUUUUUUAAAUAUAUGCAAAAAUUAAUUUUAACCACACGUUAUUUGAUAACUCUCUCUUAUUAUUUUUCGUGGAUAGUAGCAGUACUAUGUUUGCGUUUUUGGAUCGUACACUUAUCUUUCGCCCACACAUGGAAGACCACGUGCACAGUACAUGUUGCACGUGCAAUACAUUAAAAAAUCUCGUUAAUUAUUUUAUAUUUGUGACAUAAUUUAAAAUAAUUUUUUAUAUAAAACUUAAUAGAAUAGAAUGGCCAAUUUGCAUAAAAAAUUCACUUAUUUUGGGCUUUUGCAAAACCGGGCUACUUUUUUCGUUUUUGCAGAUUCGGUCAGCUUUUUUAGCAAACUGACCAAAAUACUCUUAUUACUUUUUCUCUUUCCUCUUUCUCUCUCUUCUUCGCUUCUCUCGUUCUUUUUUUUUUUCUCGCCGGCAGAGCGGAGAGGCAGAAACGAUCUGUCUCGCCUCUCAUCCUCAUGCUCUCGCCCUCGCCCUUGCCCUCGUCCAUGUACCCCCCACCUUCCUCGCCUCCGAACCCGCCAAGGCCGCGCCGCGACUUUUUUUUUUUUUUUCCUUUUUUUUUUUUUUUUUCUUUUCCGACUCUUCUUCACCGUUUCCGACGAUGACGCCUCUCGCCCUUCCCCGCCUUUCUCAUCUCUCCCUCUCCCUCAUUUUCUGCCGUCUCCGACGACGAUUUAUUUUGGCCGGUGCCGACGUCGACACCGUAAAGGUCACUGCGGCGCUACAGCCUCGGAGCGGGGGGUCCUUAGCGGAGUCGUCACCGGCGCCGUAACUGUUGGUAGAGAAUGUGACAAAAAAAAUUAUAGAAAAAACAGAAAAAAAAAUAAAGAUAAAAAAUUAUAUAAAAAGAAGGAUGAAGAUGAAAUUGUAUUGUUAAUUACAAAAAAAACUAUAAGUUGCACUAUUUAAGAUGUAAACUGCUGCUUUAAUAUAAAAAUUAUAUUCUUUGAACGAAAAUUAUACUAUUUUUUAUCUUAAACUGCAUCCUUUUAAGUGAUAUUUAUACUGUUUCUUCUCUUGUUGCACUGUGUCUCCUCUUGUUGCACUGUUUCUCCUCUUAUUGUACUAUUUCUCCUCUUGUUUACACAGAAAUGGUGCAACAAGAGGAGAAACAGUGCAACAAGAGGAGAAACAGUAUAAACAUCUCUUAAAAGGGUGCAGUUUCUUCUUUUAUUGCAUUAUUUCUCCUCUUGUUGCACUAUUUCUCCUAUUGUUUACACAAAAAUAGUGCAACAAUAGAAGAAACAGUGCAACAAGAGAAGAAACAGUAGAUAUAUUUCUUAAAACAGUGCAGUUUCUCCUCUUGUUGCACUAUUUCUCCUAUUGUUUACACAAAAAUAGUGCAACAAUAGAAGAAACAGUGCAACAAGAGAAGAAACAGUAGAUAUAUUUCUUAAAACAGUGCAGUUUCUCCUCUUGUUGCACUAUUUCUCCUCUUGUUUACAUAGAAAUGGUGCAACAAGAGGAGAAACAGUAUAUAUAUCUCUUAAAAUAGUGCAGUUUCUCCUCUUGUUGCACUGUUUCUCCUCUUGUUGCACUAUUUUUUUUCUUGUUUACACAGAAAUGGUGUAACAAGAGGAGAAACAGUGCAACAAGAGGAGAAAUAGUAUAAAUAUCUCUUAAAAUGGUGCAGUUUAAGAUAAAAAAUAGUGUAACAAGAGAAAAAAUGGUGCAACAAGAGAAGAAACAGUGCAACUUUUGUUUAAAGAGUGUUACUUUCAUCUUAAUGGAUGCAGUUUACAUCUGAAAGAGUGUAAUAAGAAGAGAAACAGUAUAAAUAUAUCUCAAAAAGUAUAAUUUUCGUUUAAAGAGUGUAGUUUUCAUCUUAAAGCUGCAGUUUACAUCUUAAGUAGUGCAACUUAUAAUUUUUUUUGCAGUUAACGAUGCAAUUUCAUAUUCAUCCUUCUUUUUAUAUAAUUUUUUAUCUUUAUUUUUUUCUGUUUUUUCUAUAAUUUUUUUUUGUCACCCUCUCUGCCAACAGCCACGGUGCCGGCAACGACGCCGCUAAGGACCCCCGCUCCGAGCCUGUAGCACCGCAGUGACCUCCACGGUGUCGACGNUUCUUUGAACGAAAAUUAUACUAUUUUUUAUCUUAAACUGCAUCAUUUUAAGUGAUAUUUAUACUGUUUCUCCUCUUGUUGCACUGUUUCUCCUCUUAUUGUACUAUUUCUCCUCUUGUUUACACAGAAAUGGUGCAACAAGAGGAGAAACAGUGCAACAAGAGGAGAAACAGUAUAAACAUCUCUUAAAAGGGUGCAGUUUCUUCUUUUAUUGCAUUAUUUCUCCUCUUGUUGCACUAUUUCUCCUAUUGUUUACACAAAAAUAGUGCAACAAUAGAAGAAACAGUGCAACAAGAGAAGAAACAGUAGAUAUAUUUCUUAAAACAGUGCAGUUUCUCCUCUUGUUGCACUAUUUCUCCUCUUGUUUACAUAGAAAUGGUGCAACAAGAGGAGAAACAGUAUAUAUAUCUCUUAAAAUAGUGCAGUUUCUCCUCUUGUUGCACUGUUUCUCCUCUUGUUGCACUAUUUUUUUUCUUGUUUACACAGAAAUGGUGUAACAAGAGGAGAAACAGUGCAACAAGAGGAGAAAUAGUAUAAAUAUCUCUUAAAAUGGUGCAGUUUAAGAUAAAAAAUAGUGUAACAAGAGAAAAAAUGGUGCAACAAGAGAAGAAACAGUGCAACUUUUGUUUAAAGAGUGUUACUUUCAUCUUAAUGGAUGCAGUUUACAUCUGAAAGAGUGUAAUAAGAAGAGAAACAGUAUAAAUAUAUCUCAAAAAGUAUAAUUUUCGUUUAAAGAGUGUAGUUUUCAUCUUAAAGCUGCAGUUUACAUCUUAAGUAGUGCAACUUAUAAUUUUUUUUGCAGUUAACGAUGCAAUUUCAUAUUCAUCCUUCUUUUUAUAUAAUUUUUUAUCUUUAUUUUUUUCUGUUUUUUCUAUAAUUUUUUUUUGUCACCCUCUCUGCCAACAGCCACGGUGCCGGCAACGACGCCGCUAAGGACCCCCGCUCCGAGCCUGUAGCACCGCAGUGACCUCCACGGUGUCGACGUCGACGUCGGCGCCGGCGAAGAUGCAUCGUCGUCGGAGGCGGCAGAGAAUGAGAGAGAGGGAGAGAUGAAAAUGGCGGGGAAGGACGAGAGAGGCGUCGUCGUCGGAGACGGUGGAGAAGAGUCGAAGAAGAAAAGAAAAGAAAAAAGCAAAAAAAAAAAAGUCGCGGCGCGGCCUUGGUGGGGUUGGAGGCAAGGAAGGUGGGGGGUGCAUGGACGAGGGCAAGAGCAAGGGCGAGGGCGAGAGAAUGAGGGUGAGAGGCGAGACGGACCGUUUCCGCCUCCGCUUUGCCGGCGAGAAAAAAAAAAGAACGAGAGAAACGAAGAGGAGAGAGAAAGAGGAAAGAGAAAAAGUAAAAAAGGUAUUUUGGUCAGUUUGCUGAAAAAGCGGACCGAAUCUGCAAAAACGAAAAAGGUGGCCCGGUUUUGCAAAAACCUAAAAUAAGUGGAUUUUUUAUGCAAAUUGGCCAUUAAACUAUUUAAUUUAGUUAUAGUAUUUUGAAUGAUAGUUAGUCUCAAAAAAUUUUAAAAAUUAAGUAUGAUAAAAUUAGAAUAAUUAUGCAAUAGCUAUUCUCUGCGAUCUUUCGGUUUUUCAAAAUAAUAAUAAUAAUAAUAUCAGGUCACGCUGGCUAACUAAGAUUAAUUUUCACUAUUCCAUGGAUGAUGAAAAAAAAAAUUUCUUUACAAAUUUAUAUUAUUAUGUUGCUAUCAACGCCAUCAACAUCAAUUAUUUUCAACUACACUACAAAUUUUUUUAUAUAAAACUUAAUAGAAUUAAACUAUUUAAUUUAGUUACAGCAUUUUGAAUGAUAGUUAGGCUCAAAAAAAUUUAAAAAAUUAAGUAUGAUAAAAUUAGAAUAAUUAUGCAAUAGAUGAUCCUCUGCGGUCUUUCUUCCUUUCAAAAAAAUAAAUAAUUAUAAUAUCAGGUCACGCUAGCUAAUUAAGAUUAAUUUUCACUUCUCCAUGGAUGAUGCAAAAUUUUUUUUCUUUACAAAUUUAUAUUAUUAUGUUGCUAUCAACGCCAUCAACAUCAAUUAUUUUCAACUACGCUACAAUGAUGAGUAAAUUAAAACACGUAAGCUUGUACUACUAGAUUAGCUGAAAAUUUUGGAUAUAGUUUUUGCAAUUUCUUGUGCAAAAGUUUUCUACUCACCACUUGAUCUUAUCCAUCAGUUGAAAACAAGAUUGGUUCUAAACCAAAAAAGAAAAAAAAAAAAAAUCCAACGCUGUGAUUCCAUUACUUGGGGUACAUACAUAGAAAUUUUUAGCAUACUCUUUACUAACUAAAAAUACUGUAAAAAGAAAAAAAAAUGGAAAACCCUCCUCACACCUGUAGGCCAUUGUAAAAGAAGAAUGCUACAGUGGGUAUACGUUAUAUUUUUUUCAUCCAAGAAUUAUUUUUUUUUACUUAUCACAUUAAUUUUUUUAAAUAAAAAUUUUUAAAAUUUUUGUAAACUCUAGGGUGGAAGUUCAAGAUGUACACCUCUUUUUGGAGUCUACAAAUAGAAUUUUUUAUUGUAAAAAAAAUAUAUCAAUAAACUCUAAAGUAUGAUGUACAUCUUAUAUCUUUUUUAUUAAAAAACUAAUAUUUCUUACUUAUCACAUCAAAUUUUUCUUUAAAUUUUUGUAAACCCUAAGUUGGAGGCUGUAAGAUUAAUACUCUUUUUUUGGCGUGUACAAAUAGAAUAUUCUAUAGUAAAUAAGCAAAGUUAUCUGUACACGUAUAAUUUAGGUAUAAGAUAUACAUUCUAGCCAACCUACGGCUAGAAUCAACUCACUUGUCUUAUCAUUUUCUUUCAACUAAAAUUUAAAAGAAUUUUUUUAAACUUCAGGAUGGAUGGAGAUAAGAUAUAUACCGCUGCAUAGGGUGGGUGCGCAAUUAGCAAUAUUUUUUAAUAAAAUACAUGCCUCAAAUUUAUUAUUUAUUUCUUUUGAACAGCCAGCUCACCAUAUUCUUCCUCUUAUUUUUAUCUUUUUUGAAAAAAAAAUUGACACCCAACAGUGCUGUUGUACCUUUUCUAAUUAUUAAUUCCAUUUCUUAAGAGAAAUUAUCCAAAUUUUAUUGCUUGGAAUGAUAACCUCCAUGCUAGGGGUGGCAAUCCAGCUCGCUGUUCGCAAACCAGCUCGUGUUCGGCUCGAAAUGAGCUCGAGAUCAAAUCGCUCGUUUAGUAAACGAGCCGAACACGAGNUUUAUAUUUUUAUAUAUAAAUAUAUAAUUAUAUAUAAUAUAUAUUUUUAUUAUUUAAUUUUUAGCAAAAGAAAAUUAUAAAUGCGAGCUUAAUUAUAAAAAGACUCAUUUGUAUGUAAAGUUUCAACUAUUAGAUUAAAGUCUAAUGAAUAAAAUUUUAUAAAUUUAAUUUUUUUAUAUAUAUUCAAUCUAAUUCUUUUUAACUUAUUGUUUGUUGGUCAGCUCGUGAGCCAGUUCGUAUUCGGCUCGUUUAUUAACGAGUGGAACACGAGCUGAAUUUUUGGCUCGAUCCUUUAACGAGCCAACUCGUGUUCGGCUCGUUUAUUAAACGAGCUGAAUAUGAGCCGGCCCUAGCUCGCUCGUGUUCGGCUCUUUUACACCCCUACUCCAUGCAGGAAUACUGGUUUCAGCUCUGCCUUUUCAUUAUUUUUGGGUCAUGCAUGUUUCAGCAUCAAUAACUUUUAAUACUCUUUUGCUUCACCAGAGAGACAAAAUAAAAUAAUGAGGCUCAAAAACAAGAACCUAAACCUUAUGCUAUCAAAAAUAUUAAAGUUAUUUUAUAAUUGUAUUUUGCUUUUUUUUUUAACAAUACAAUUGAGAAAUAGUUUUUAAAUAAAAUUAUAGCAGCUCUUUCUCUCUUGAUACAAUUUUAUUUGACGCUUUAAUAGUUCCACAUCAGAUAACAUGAAUAUGUGUGAGAAAUUUAUGUGUAGCUGUAUAGCAUAUUAUUAGCUAAUAACUGAAUUUAAAUAUUUUGUAUUAAUAUUUUAGACUCGACAAGUUAUCAGUGUUGGUGGACAGAGUCAUCACAUGCAGUCUCUCUCUCUCUCUCUCUCUCUCUCUCUGUGUUUGGUUGCUGUAUCCACAUCAGCAAAAACUGACAAUCAAUCUUAGUUGCCAAGGGGAUAGGAAAGGACAACAAGUGAUGAAGACUUACACAUGUACAAAGACCAAACCCUAGCUUAGUGGCUGCUUCCCUUUGGACCAGUUUCUAGGAAAAAGAGGAGGUAGUUGGAAUGUUGAUCUUGAACUCUGUAGGCACUUUUAAUGGGGCUCCUCAAUUCACAAACCAUGUGUUCCACAUGGAAAGAGAAUCAAUUGGGCCCUCAACUUUAGACCAAGUGAUCAAAAAGGGUCCCAGUAAGGAAAUACUUUAGAUUCUUUUUAGAUGAAUAUCUUAUAUAUGCUACUGAUAUAGUCACAAUUGAUAUUGCAUGAGUUAAUCAAUUAAAUUUCUUUACAUUAUAGUACCAGCACAUUAGCAUUAUUAAUAUAUAAAGAUAAUAUUUGAUAAUUUUGUAGCAGUACCUCGCAAUAUAGAGUUUCUAUGUGAUCUGAUAAUGUACUGAUUAAUUUAUAUAAUAUUUUAAAGGCCAAUUUGUAUAAAAAAAUCCACUAAUUUUAUGUUUUUGCAAAAGUGGGCCACCUUUUUAGUUUUUGCAGAUUCGGACCGAAUUUUUAGAAGGAUGACCAAACAACUCUUCUGUCAAAAUGCAUAAAAAUUAUAUGCUUUAAACGCCUAGAAAAAUACAACUGUUAAGUCACUAAGUGUAAAACUUCUUGAAAUGACAACUGCUAAGCCAUAAUUAUAUGUACCUUUCUCGUGAAACGAAAAACCUCAUUCAAGACAAAAUAAAAAAAUAAAGAAUAAUUAGUAAGAUGAAAGAGUGCAACAUCCUCUCAAAUAGUGCAACAAACUCAUCAAAAUAGUGCAAUAUCUGUAUAAGUAGUGCAACAUAUGCAUUGUUAAUACAUAUUUUGCAUGAUUUUUACACUAAAUUACGCACAGUUUAGUAUAUUACGCGAAAAUAAUAUAUUAUAUUACAACAUACUAUAAAAAUUAUACAAUAUAUGUAUAAACGGUGCAUAUUUUACACUAUUUGUAUAGAUAUUUACACUAUUUGUGUAAAUGUUAUACUGUUAUGAGAGAAUAUUGCACCAUUUAGAGAUAUAUGUUGCACUCUUUCUUUUUGAAAAUUAAAUUUCAUUGCAUAUUAAAUAAAGUGUAAAAUUUCUUGAAAAUGAUAACUGCUAAACCAUAAUUACAUGCAUGUACCUUUCUUGUAACAAGAAAUCUCAUUCAAGAGAAAAUAAAAAUAAUAAAGAAUAAUUAAUAAGAUGAAAGAGUGCAACUUCCUCUCAAAUAGUGCAACAAUCUCUUCAAAAUAGUGCAAUAUCUGUAUAAGUAGUGCAACAUAUGCAUUGAUAAUAAAUAUUUUGUAUGAUUUUUACACUGAAUUACGCACAGUUUAGUAUAUUACGCAAAAAUAAUAUAUUAUAUUACAACAUACUAUAAAAAUUAUAUAAUAUAUGUACAAACGGUGCAUAUUUUAUACUAUUUGUGUAGAUAUUUACACCAUUUGUGUAAAUGUUGCACUAUAAUGAGAGGAUGUUGCAUCCUUUAGAUGUGUGUUGCACUCUUUCUUUUUGAAAAUUAAAUUUCAUUGCAUAUUAAAUAAAAUAUAAAACUUCUUGAAAAUGACAACUGCUAAGUCAUAAUUACAUACAUGUACCUUUCUCUUGAAACGAGAAACCUCAUUCAAGAGAAAAUAAAAAAUAUAAAGAAUAAUUAAUAAGAUGAAAGAGUGCAAUAUUCUCUCAAAUAGUGCAACAAUUUCUUCAAAAUAGUGCAAUAUCUAUAUAAGUAGUGCAUCAUUUGCAUUGUUAAUAUACAUUUUGUAUGAUUUUUAUACUAAAUUACGCACAGUUUAGUAUAUUACGUAAAAAUAAUAUAUUAUAUUACAACAUACUAUAAAAAUUAUAUAAUAUAUGUACAAACGGUGCAUAUUUUAUACUAUUUGUGUAGAUAUUUACANAAGAAUAAUUAGUAAGAUGAAAGAGUGCAACAUCCUCUCAAAUAGUGCAACAAGCUCUUCAAAAUAGUGCAAUAUCUGUAUAAGUAGUGCAACAUACGCAUUGUUAAUACACAUUUUACAUAAUUUUUACACUAAAUUACAUACAGUUUAAUAUAUUACGCGAAAAUAAUAUGCAACAUAUAAUAUAAUAAACUGUAUGUAAUUAAUUUAGUAUAAAAAUCAUACAAAAUGUGUAUUAACAAUGCAUAUGUUGCACUAUAUAUACAGAUAUUUCACUAUUUUGAAGAGCUUGUUACACUAUUUGAGAGGAUAUUGCACUCUUUCAUCUUAUUAAUUAUUCUUUAUUCUUUUUAUUUUCUCUUAAAUGAGGUUUCUCGUUUCACCAGAAAGGUACAUGCAUGUAAUUAUGGCUUAGCAAUUGUCAUUUUUAAGAAAUUUUACACUUUAUUUAAUAUGCAAUGAAAUUUAAUUUUUUUAAAAAAAGAGUGCAACAUACAUCUAAAUGGUGCAAUAUCCUUUCAUAAUAGUACAACAUUUACACAAAUUGUGUAAAUAUCUGUACAAAUAGUAUAAAAUAAGCACCGUUUGUACAUAUAUUGUAUAAUUUUUAUAGUAUGCUGUAAUAUAUUAUAUUAUUUUCGGGUAAUAUACUAAACUGUGCGUACUUUAGUGUAAAAAUCAUGUAAAAUGUGUAUUAACAAUGCAUAUGUUGCACUACUUAUACAGAUAUUGCACUAUUUUAAAAAGCUUGUUGCACUAUUUGAGAGGAUGUUGCUCUCUUUCAUUUUAUUAAUUAUUCUUUAUUCUUUUUAUUUUCUCUUGAAUGAGAUUUCUCGUUUCACGAGAAAGAUACAUACAUGUAAUUAUGNUUCUUUUUAUUUUCUCUUGAAUGAGAUUUCUCGUUUCACGAGAAAGAUACAUACAUGUAAUUAUGACUUAGCAGCUGUCAUUUCCAAAAAGUUUUACAUUUUAUUUAAUAUGCAAUAAAAUUUAAUUUUCAAAAAGAAAGAGUACAACACGCAUCUAAAUGGUGCAACAUCCUCUCAUAAUAAUGCAACAUUUACACAAAUAGUGUAAAUAUAUGUAUAAAUAGUGUAAAAUAUGCACCGUUUGUACAUAUAUUGUAUAAUUUUUAUAGUAUGUUGUAAUAUAUUAUAUUAUUUUCGCGUAAUAUACUAAACUGUGCGUAAUUUAAUGUAAAAAUCAUGCAAAAUGUUUAUUAACAAUACAUAUGUUGCACUAAUUAUACAGAUAUUGCACUAUUUUGAAGAGCUUGUUGUAUUAUUUGAGAGGAUGUUGCACUCUUUCAUCUUAUUAAUUAUUCUUUUUUUUUAUUUUGUCUUGAAUGAGGUUUCCCGUUUCACGAGAAUGGUACAUAUAAUUAUGACUUAGCAUAUGAAUUUUGAAAGAGGGGUAGUUUGAUCAUCCUUCUGAAAAUUCGGCUCGAAUAUGCAAAAACUAAAAAGAUGGUCCCCUUUUGCAAAAGCGCAAAAUUAGUGAAUUUUUUUAUGCAAAUUGGCCAAUAUUUAAAGCAUCAUUCAUUGUAGCUUUAAAUUUUCUGAAAUAAACGGUUGCUUUAUGUACUAUAACAUGAUAUCAAAGUAAUAAUGAGUUUGAAUCCCAUCGGGUUUCUGGUAUCAAAAUGUCUUAAUACCAUACUGAAGGAAGGUGCUAAGUAUAAUUAUUAUAGACACCAUUCUCUGAUAAUUUAAAUUUUUAAAGACUAAUGAUUAUUUCACAUAAGAUAACAAAUUAUUUAAAUUUCUCAAGAUUAUUAUUUUUGUUUUGAUCAGUACAUGUUAUGAUGAAAAAGAUAGGGUUUAGUAUAUUAAUUUGUUUCCAAAGAACGAUAACAAAAAUAUGUUGGCUAAAAUAUAAAUUCCAGUCUCAUUAGAUUUUAUGCCAAUAGUGUGUAAAUUGCCCUCGAGCCUCAAUGGAUCCUGAUUUGUGUUAUCAAACAUUUUAAACAUAGUUUUUCCAUCGUAAAUUCAAACAUACUCAUUAGGCUUCAGAAUUUUAUUUUAGCUUUUUUCACAUUUAUCCCUCAUUAUUUACAUAAUCAAAGUAACAGUUUUAUCAUUCACUCAUCCUUCUUUGAAAUCGAAAAUAAAUAAAUAAACAAACACAGUUGAAGUGUGUGUAUGAAUGAAUUUAUGCAGUACAUAAUGACAAUUGAAUCCAUGGAAGGAUCACAAUCUUUAGAAUUCACUAAAAGAAUACAAAAUACCAGUUUUAUUAUCCGCUGAUUCGUCCUCGGCUAUCUCUCCUCAAUCCCCUCUCUUCCGAUUCAGCUGUGCCCGCGCCGCUGCUUUCACUAGUCAAUCCACUGUAUUCGCUACUUACGUAGUCUCGGCUUCCGAAUGCCAUCCUCCUGAGCCUUCUGAUUUCACUUUCUUGGCCUGAAUCCUUAGUGUGGAAAGAGCUUUGGCCGGGUUUGAUUCCAGCAUUUCGAUCCUCGGCAGAGAUUUCUCCUUCAAGGUACCGCACAAUCUGCUUAAAUAACAAGCUCAAAUUGUUGUUAAUUCUAUUUGAUGAUUGUUACAAUAGUUCUUAUGGAUGGGAAAAAAAAAAGAAAACUUCAAAUACCACCCUUAUGGUUUCACACUUUUUCACUUUAGUACCGUACGAUUUAAAGUAUAUCAAUUUAGUACCCUAUAGUUUCGCUCUUUCUCACUUUAGUACCCUGUGGUUAAAGUGCAUCAAUUUAGUACCUUAUGGUUAGGGGUAUAAAACAGGCCGGGCAGCCCACACACGACUGCGGGCCGGACCGUGGCCCGGCACAGAUACUAUAGCAUCCCUGUCAUGCCAACCCGGCCUAGCUCCAUGGGCCGUGCUGGGCCGAGCUUCUGCAGCCCGUAGGCCCGACACGGCAUGGCCCGGCCCGUGUCAGGCUUGGGCUGUGCCGGGCCGCAAGGUCGGCCCACAGCCCGGCACAACCCGGAUGGGCCGUGCCUGUUAGGGCAGCACGGCCCAGGCCCGAUUUACUUGUAAGGUAGCCUACAUGUAGAGCUUUAUAGGCCUCGCUUUGCCAGAGCCUAUAAGGCUUGGCUAGCAAGCUUUGGGGCUUUUUGACAUCCUCAGACAGAGGGCCCAAUAGCCGUUGGGUCCUCUUUUUUCUUUUUUUUUUCAAAAAAAAUACUUAUUUUAUUAUUAAUUUUAAAAAAAGGUUAAAAAUAAAAAAAAAAAUAUUUUUUUGAUCAAGAUGACCACAAUACCCUCACUAACAUUCAAAAAUUAUAUUGAAUAUUUUUUUUCUAUUGUUUGCUAAUUUGUUGUACAAACGAUACCAUUUUAUUUUAAAUAUAUUUUUGAUUUUUUAAAUUUUUAUACUUUUCUCUAAUCUAAUUAUACAAUAUGAUUAAUUCAAAUUUUACAUAUUUUUUGUGCUUUUUUUUCGAAUAUCGAUUUCUCUUCAAAUAAUAAAAAAUUAUGAAAAAAAAUUAAUAUUAAUUUUUUUAAAAAAAAGUUAAAUUUAUUGUUUGUGUUUUAGUUUUUUUAAAAAAAAUUACAAAAUUUUUAAAAAAGUUUUAAAAAGGUUGGGUAUAAUUGUAUAAAUUAAAAACUGUAAGUUAAAAAGUGGCCUUUUUGCAUAAAAAAUUCACUUAUUUUGGGCUUUUGCAAAAUCGGGCCACAUUUUUCGUUUUUGCAGAUUCGGUCCGCUUUUUCAGCAAACUGACCAAAAUACCCUUAUUACUUUUUCUCUUUCCUCUUUCUCUCUCCUCUUUAUUCUCUCAUUCUUUUUUUUUUUCCGCCAGAAAAAUAAAAGCGAAGGCCAGGCGGAGCAAUUUUUUCCUCUCUUUUUCUUUUUCUUAUUCUUCUUCCUCCCACUGGAGCACCUUUUUUUUUUUUCCUCUUCUUCUUCUUCUUCUUCUUCCUGUAAGAGCACGGGGCGCGCCAUGGCGGCUUCCGGCCUCGCCAAGCGGCGUCUACCCGGCGGCGUUCUGCAGGGAGGGGUCGGCACCGGCGACCGCGAGCGCCGUGGCGAGGGUGGGGGCGCACGGGAGGCGGGCGGCGAGGUGGAGCGGGGUGUCGCAGCCGGGGACGUCGCGCCGGUCGAGGGCGGCGGUCACGCGCGCNNNNNNNNNNNNNNNUUCUUCUUCGGGCGUGCUGCGGCUGCUCUCUAUCGGAUAGUCGCAAAAUUGCGCCAAAGUGUUGUCGGAAAUCCAAUUCCUUAGAAAUUCUAACAAUUAGUAAUUAACUGAGAUAGGUGGUGCUCUCCGAAACAGUUGGAUUUCUUUCUAUAUCCGAUUUAAAGUUUUGAGCUUUUAUAUAUAUAUAUAUAUAUAGAGCUAGGCUCCUAUGCUUUUGAAAGUACGGGAGGCUCCGUGCUUGUAAGUUGUUUUCGAUGAUGGGACAUUCAAUUCGACGAUCGGUUCCAUUAAACUUGAUCUACGUUAUUGGAACUAUCUAGAAACCAAAUUUCAUAAUUUUUUGAUUUCGUUUGUGCAGUGAACGAGUGGCCUCAAAAUGAACGGCUAAAAAUAAAAAUCUCAUAAAAAACUGUGAUAAAGGAUUCAAAUUUUAAAUCGGAAGUAUUGAUCUUGCUACUGAUGUUAAGUAGAAUUUUCUAUUAAAUUUUCAUGUAAUUUGGAUACUUCUACACCGUUGAACUUAAAAAUGUGCCACAUCGGUCGUUAAACUAGUCAUUUUUUAGACCUUUUGAUCGCUUAGUAAAUGAUGUCAAAAAAAUCUAAAUUUUGGUUUCUAGAUAGUUCCAAUAGGAUAGAUCAUACCUAACAGAGCCGAUCGUCGAAUCGGACGUCCUAUCAUCGAAAACAAUUUACAAGCACGGGGCCUCCCGUACUUUCGAAAGUACUGGAGACGGACUAUAUAUAUAUAUAUAUAUAUAUAUAUAUAUAUAGUGGGCUGGUAUGCUUCUGGAAGCACGGAGGCCUCCGUGCUUCCAAGUAGUUUUCGAUGUUCGGACUUUCGAAUCGAUGAUCGGCUCCGUUAGAGUUGAUCUAGAGUAUUUGAAGUACCUAGAAAAUAAAUUUUGCGAUUUUUCGAUAUCAUUUGCCUAGUGAUCCAAGGGGCUCAAAAUCAAUAAUUUUAACGGCCGUGGUGAGCCGGUUGCAAGUUUAACGGUGUGGAAAUAUCCAAAUCACAUGAAAUUUUGAUAGAAAAUUCUUUAUACCAUAUAAAACAAGUUCAAUAAUUUUGAUCUAAAAUUUUAAUGUCAUAUCAUCAUAUUUUGUAAGAUAUUUAUUUUCAGCCGUUGAUUUUGAGCCACUUCGAUCACUAGGAAAAUGAUAUCGAAAAAUCGCAAAAUUUAUUUUCUGAAUACUUCAAAUACUCUAAAUCAAGUUUAACGAAGUCGAUCGUCGAUUCGAAAGUCCGAACAUCGAAAACAAAGUGGAAGCACGGAGCCCUCUAUAUAUAUAUAUAUAUGUGUGUGUGUGUGUGGGCGCGCGCGCACGCGUAAUUAUGCACGUUUCAAAUAUAUUUAUUGCAUGUUAGGAUCCAAGUAUAUAUAAUGCCAUGUAAUUUGCAUGCUUUCUAAUUUAGAAAUAGAUAACUGUGAUUGAGAAUUUUGAAUUUAGGAUGCAUGAGCAUAGUGUUAUGUGAACUCUAGAGAUGCGUUGAACUAGUAAAGUAAAUUCGUUGUAUGGGUAUAGAAAAUAUAGAGGAAUACUAGACGUAGUUGAGUGUCAAAUAUAAACCUAGUGACAGAUUAAGAUGUAACGGUUCAAAUCCAAUAUAUUAAAAAGCUGGGUAAUAAAAUCAAAUUUUUGAAAUGCUGAAUAGUCAAUUCAAUAUUCUCUAUUAAUUAGAUAUGACCUACAAUGUAAUACGCACUAGUCACGAGUUUUGUAAUUUACCUCUUAUAGUUUAGCAUAUUUUUACUUUGCAAUCAGUUUUUAUUUUAAGGCAUUUUACAAACAGUAAACUAUUAGGAAUUGAAAACAUUUUACAAAUUGUACUGAAUAUGGGAAUUGAAAUCAUAAUCUCACGAAAUAAAGAGGUUCAUAAUUGCUUCUAAUAUCAUAUUACUCAAAAAACCAAUCGAAAACGAAUAUAUUAAAAAAUAUAUAUUAACAUCCUCACGUAAAUAAAAUAUGUAAACAAAAAUCAAUCACUUGUAAGAAAUAAACGUCCAAAGUUUACAAUCUCAAUAUAUGUCUUUUCAAAUUUCACUAAACUCAUCUAAUACAAAAAAAUCAUCUAACAAAUUAAGUUCUAAUUUUAUAAUAUCUACAAUAAAAUCUUAGGGUGCAGUGCAUGGUGCAAUACAUGCAUGCAAUAAUUUUUUUGUUAAUGGGAGUAGAAUUAUUCAUUGACAAGUGAUCAUUAAGAUAUGCGCGUGGGACUAAAUGAAUAGUCUAAAAAACAAAUUUAGUUGUGGGAAUUUUCGUUUCGUUGCGUAUUGUUUCAAUAUUUAAAACAUUAUAUUAUUGAAAAUCAGAUGAUGAAAAGUCAAACCAAAUAUAGGGGCAUUAACUACACCAUUUGACCCUUUUUUAUUCAUAUUUUGGGAAUGACUUUUGAUUUGUCGACUUGACCUGGCUUUUUUUUUAUUUUCCGAAGAGAAAUAGGGAUAAAAACAUUUUUGCCAAUUUUAAAGGACAAAUAAAUAAAUAAAUAAGUAAAAAAAAUUUUGUCUUGUAAUGAUUAGUAAUCUGCUAGGUCAUGUGACCCAGUGUGCCUUUAUUUUGGAGUUUUUCAAAUGGAUAGGGAUUCAAAAUUUGUACGUCUUUAUUUACGUAAUUUGAUAUUUUAAAUGUUAAUUUUAAAAAAUACUAUUCCGAUCUGAACUGUUCAAUGUAACGUGUGAUUCAUAAAAGUAGAGUUUAGGUCAAGAGAAUUGGUCCGUUGUUUUUGUUGGUGGUGCCUUAGGUCAAAAGAAUACUUGAUUUACUUUUAUCCAAUCUCAAAAGUAUAUCGACUAAUUCUCUUUUAAAAAAAUUCUUAACGCUAAUAUAAUGCUCUCUAUCUCAACUCUGAAUUUAUUUUUUUAUUUUUGUUUAGUACUUUCAUAGUUUCUAAUUAUUUUAGAUAAAUUUUUUUAUUUAAUUAAAUUAAAAAUUAUAUUAAAUUUAAUAGUUCUGUCAACUAAUAGUCAUUAAUUGUCAUAAUUGUAUUUACUAAAAAUUAAGAAAUUAGAUUUAGUAAAUUUUAAAGUUAUUUGAGUGAAAUAAUAUAAAAAAAAUAAUUAGAAGUAAGUAAGUAUAAAUAAAAAAAGGAUAAUAUUUUUUUACACUAAUUAUUUAGUCACCAUAUUUUCUUAUCAAAAAUUUGAUUAGGUAGCUCUUGUUUAUUUGCUGAAGUUUUAAUUUGUAUGUAUUUUGGUUCUCCUUAUAAUCGAGUCUUGUAUUCGUCUCUGAUUGCCGUGGGUGUCUCAGUCAAACCGUGCGUAAACUUUAGAAAUAUUUGCAUAUACUAUAUUUUUUAUAAUAAAAAGAGUUUGAUUUUUCAUCUUUAGGCCAUUGCAAAUGUGGUAAUUUUAAUGAUUCUAAAACCAGCAUAUCCUGCCUGCAUGUUAGUUUAUCUUUCAAAAAAUUGGAAUAUUUCUUUCUUUCUUUCUUUCUUUUCCACUUGUAGAAUUCAUUUUUAUCACUCUCACUCAGUAGCCUGCUAACAACUGGUUCUGAGUAAACCAGAAAAAAAUAAUAUGCUGGAUUAGUUAGCAUUUCAUGAUCAGUUAACUUAUGUGUGCUGUUAAAAUCUAAACUAAGUCCCAUAGUCCAUACCGACCGUCCCAGCAAGUGGCAAAGGGCUUGAUGGUUGGUACCCGAGACCCAAGUUCAAAUUCUAGUUGAUUCACAUUUCUAGCUAAGUUUAUUUCUAAAUGAAAUAAACGAAGCGGGUAGCGUGCUACCUAUCUCUCUCUCAAAAAAAGUCCCAUAGUCCAUAUUUUGACACGUACAUUCGAGUUAUAAUUCGAGUUCAGUGCCUGGUAAUAGGAAUCCCCAUGAGGGAUCUAUCCACAAGCUUUGAACCUCACGAGAGUUUAAUCUGGAGUUCAAGUAGUUUAAGGAACUAUUUCAAAACUUAUCGCCAAUACGGUGAAAUAAGAACAUCCAGAAGAGUAAGGCCACCAAUGGCCGUUCAGCAAGAAGAGAACAAAAGAAAAGGACAGCAUACGAAAAUUAUUUGGGAUAUAGUACAACUGAAAUGCAGAUAUAGAGAUUGAGGAAAAGAUAGCAGAUACAUCGACACCGGUAGAUAAAACAUUGUUAUUUAUGUGUUGUAAAUUUGUUGAUGUUUCUAUUUUUUUACCUUUUCUUUUUCUUUUCUUUUUUUUUUUUUUUCCGUCUUAUGUCUUAGUAUACUGAUAUUGAUUAUUUAAUAUGAAGAUGAAGCUAUUGUUUAUUCAAAAAUUGAAAUUUACUGGUCCUGACAUAGGGAUGUAAAACGGGCCAGGCUGCCUGCCCCGGCACGGCCUCGGGUCAGGUUGCAGCCCGGCACUAAUACUGUAGCACUCUUGCCAGGGCGGCCCAUCUUGAUGGCCCAUCCUGAUGAUUACGGUCGUGCUGGACGUAUUUCUUUUCGACCCAAUGGCCUGAUACAGCCCGGUCUGUAACGAGUCUGGACCGUGUGGCCCUUUAGAGCACGACCCGCUUGGGCUGUGCCAACCUAGCCAGCACCGCCCAUACCCCAAGCCCAAGGCAACUUUUCUUGGGCUUGGGUUAUGAGCUCUCUCCUACCAAGGUCAGCAGGUUUUGGUCCAUCGGACCAAAUUAUUUAGUCUGUUGGACUAAAAGCCCUAUUAAUUCAUCUUUAAAAUAAUAAUAAUAAUAAUAAUAAUAAUAUUUAUAAAUUUAAAAAAUUGUAAUAAAAAUAUAGAUUUAAAUAGAAAUACUUUAUUGAUCAUACUUUCAAAAUUUAUUUAAAAAAAAAAAAAAACAAUAAAAUUUUAAAACACCGACCCAAAGGCCGUCCAGAUCCGGCCCGGCCUGGACCUUCUGGGCCUGGGCUGUGCUGGGCCGCGGUUCAUAGCAUCAUGCCCGCACGACCCGGCCUGGCCCGAAUGCGAAUCCAGGCCAAGAUGGGCCAACCUCUGGCCCACUUCCGCCCAGGUAAUGUGGGCCGUGCCAGCCCGUUUUGGCCCACAUUGCACCCCUAUUCUGACUUGAGAAGUUGUUGUUUGUAUUGAAGACAAUUUCCAUGCCAACCCAAAAAAGCAGAAAGAGUUGAUUGUGUCUAAUCUUACUUGCCAAUAUUGUAUUACUUUUGUUGUACAAAUAACAAAAUGCUAACGAUUUUCCUUUCUACAUGGACUUGGAUUUUUCUUUUUCUUUUUUUAAAAAAAUCAUCCGACAUCUUUUUCUUUUCUUUUUUCUUUUGAGGCCUUUUAAAGCCUGUUGGACCCGCCCGGUGUUUUUGCAUGAGUGCUAUCUCUUUAAGUAAUGAUUUUUUUUUUUAGAAAAGCUUUAAAUUGGAGCUAGUUUCUUUUUAUGCUUUUAGGUUUAAUUUUUUUCAAAUUUUAUUAUUACUUUUCAAAAUAGAGAAGCUAAAAGAAGAAUUAAAGUAUGUAGAUAGGUUCUCAAUAGCCCCCUCCACCUCACCGCCAUUGGCUAGAUUUGGUCAGAUUUCUAGCCAAAGUCCAACCAGUAGGUUCGAUUUUUCUGCUCUCUAUGUAUGAAGUCAUUCUUUUUUCUACUUUUUUUUUUUUCACAAUCAUCUAGAUAUUUGUCUCUUUCUUGCUUUUUUCUUUCUCCACUCAAACUCUUUCCUUCUUUUUUCGCCGGGCAUCAUCGUCUUUAAAUACAACCUUCGAAGCUUGGUGAAUUUAGAAAGGAAAACAUUUCGGUAUGGUUUGAAGUCUGGAGCCAGAUUAAGAUCGAGAUCUCGAUGAUUGCUUUUCCCUUUAUAUUAUUUCUUAUUUUGUUUUUUAUAACCUGCAUGGGGCUUAAAGUUUAAGAGAGCUUGAUUUAUUUUUUAGUAAAUGUGUAGGUACAAGAAACUGUUCUAUAUAUUUUUUCCUUUUCGUUUCUUAGGUUUGGGACCAUCACUUUCAUCUUUCCCAUUUAGUUUUAGAGAUAUUUUCGUUCCCAUAUUUUCUUUUGUGGAAAUGUUCUUUUAUUUGUUACUUUCUCAAAAUUAUUCAUUUAUAAUCAAGCUCUACUUUUCGACGAAUAAAUUGACUAUGAGCUUUAUUGAACGAAAAAAAAUUUCAGAUAGGUUAUAUACAUAGGUGUUUUGGAUGGUUUUAAUGAUCUACUUCACUGCAUUUAAAGCGAAAAUUGAAGGAAAAGCUCGUUUUAUUUUAUACGAGAGUUCAAAUUUUAGAUGUUACAGUUGAGAUUUAAGAACCAAACUAUUGGACUACUUGUAGUGGCUCUUUAGACUUUGUAGAUUGUAUGAGAAAAUUAAAAUAUGAAAGUGAUAUUACUAAUCAUAUCCAUGUAAUUAAUAAAAUAUAAUUAAUGAAAUUCAUUCUAUCUUAGAAUGGAUGGGUGUACAUCUACAUCCUACAUUCCUUUUUAGCUGCAGUGCAUGAUAUGUACGGAUGAACCGGGUGCAGGAAAUAAUAAUUGCUCCUCGUGCACCAUGUGGUGAACCUACCUCUCUCCCUAUGCUCUUUCGUGCGCAGCGCUACUACCACAAAGCUAAAUAUGCACUCCUCCCUCAUCUCUCUCUCAUUCUCUCUCUCUCUCCUCAAUCGAAACCCGAUGCUCUCCUCCUCUCUCACCACCGCACCCUCGCCCCCCAGAUCGAUUCCCCUUUCGAAACCCUCGUCGAAACCGAAACCCUACUAUGCGUCCCCUCUCCCUCUCCGCCGCACCGUCCCCUACGCCGCGAGGUCGCUCCCCAGACCCUCGCCCCCGAUCCGCGCCUCCGCCGCCGCCGCCGAAUCCGAGAGGUUCUCGGAGAACAACUCCAUCUCCGACUUCAUGAGGUUCCGGCGCGGCGGCGGCGGCGGCGGCGGCGGAGGCAGCGCCGAGGCCGAGGCCGGAGAGCUGCAAACCGCCGUCGUUAGUUACCGGAAGAAGCUCCCGUGGUUGCUCCUCAACCCUCUCCUUCAGGUGAUUCGCUUCUUAUGAUUUUCUCUCUCGAAUCUUUUGUUUUUGUUGGUGGUGUGUACGUUUUGUGUUGAUUUGGUGGGUGUUUUCGUCGUUACAGGUGGAUCUGGUGUCGACAAUUCACAUUGCGGAUAAGCAGUAUGUGGAAAUGUCCCUGAGAUUAUAAGUUAAUUGCGUAGUACAUCUGGUAUUUGUUUGUAAAAGAGAGAGGUUUUUGUCCAAUUCGAUGAAAUUACGUUUAAUUGUGCCAUUUUAAGAAUUGAAGUAAUCUGAAGCCUCAAUCUCAGCUGUUCAUCACUACUUGAAUCGAAAAAAGAUUCCGAAUUACCAUUCAAAUGAAGUGAUCAGCAGCUAAGCUUGAACCUUCAGGUCUUAAUAUGUUAAUUCACCUUUAACAUGAGCCGGUGACCAGGAAUAUUAUUGGCAUUCUCAAACAUCUGAUUAUAGUCCUUGAGAAAUCAAUUUUCCUUUUGAUUAUUUAUCUAGUGACACCACACGGAAAAGAUUUUCGCUGUAGGAACUUUAUGCGCCCCUUGAAGGCUAUGUGCUAAUACAUCUUGCAUUAGUUGAAAUGGUUCGGAAUGAAAGUUUCGCGAUUUACACCAUUACUAUGGUGGAUCUGAAUUUUUAUUGGCUUAUCAACCAGUUAAAAUUUUACUUGUCGCUAAUUUCUGUAUCCAGGUACUUUGAAACACUUCAGAAGGGACUUGAAUAUUAUGAUAUCAUUCUCUAUGAAAUGGUCGCUAGUAGAGAAAUUUUAGAGAAUAGGAGAAACUCAACAUCUACGAAGAGGCUUAAAGCUUCACGGUCUAAAGGCUUUAAUAUUCUUGGUUUUAUACAAAGGCAAAUGGCACGUAUUCUUUCGUUGGAUUUUCAGUUAGAUUGCCUAGAUUACGACAGUGAAAACUGGCUUCACGCUGACCUUGACUAUGAGACAUUCAAGCUGCUUCAGGUGAAUUUUCAUUUUUACUUGCCUUUGUUUAUUAUUUCAUUAUUUCAUUUCUAUAUUACCUUCUAUUUUUAGCAGUAAAAGUCAUUACGAACUCUUUGAAUGGAUGUUAUCGCAUAACAGAGCAGACUAGCGUCAAAGAAAUGUGUUCUUUUCUCUGAAAAGCUAACUUGCUAUUAGUUAUCGCUACUCACUAAGUUGAUUGUGAGCCUCUGAGGGUUCGGGAGAAGCUUCAAGUAACUAGUAUAGGUUAAAAAUGUGGAUACCCUGAACAUUAGGCCAUUUUGAAAUAGACAUUUCGACUUUAUCUAUUUAUUUAUUUCUAUGCCCCCUCAACUUUUGCUCACUUUUAUUCAACUUGUUUCCAUUAGCUGAAUUGGGAUUCCAUUAAAGUUAAUCCAUUAAAGUUAAUGGCUCUGUUAACUGUUAAUCUUUAACGAACCUGCAGCUUUGUCACUUGAAAGAGCGGAACUGUUUAAUGUUCACCUAAAGAAAUAACUUAAAUCAGAAUGUAGAAAAGUUGAGGGGGUCUAAAUUUUUGCAUUCAAAUAGUUACUUUGGCCACCGCAAGAAGUGUUGAACUGCUUUGCUGAUGCUCUGUAGUUUUUGCACAAAUUCUCCCAUCAAUCAUGCGCUCUCUCCCUCUAGACCGCUACUUACUCUUUUGUGUGCGAAUGAAAUUCUUUGCAAGUUUAAAUGGACUGAUUUGCCCUGUGUUUGAACAAACUUAAGUCAUUUUAUGCCUUCUUCUAUUUACGUGCUACACCUCAAAACAUUAAAAACCUGCCUUAACUUCUGUCUUCUGUUAUUUUCCAGCUUGAGAAAGGGGAAAGCUUCUUUACAUUUGCAAGGGACAUGACCAUGAAGUCUACAAAAGCUUUGGUGCAGCCGGUUUCUAUACCAGACGGUCUCGGCUUUUGGAGAUCUAAGUUACUAUGGGCUUCGCGUGUGCUUCCCAUGCCGCUUGUUGGGCUUCUCAUUAUCAGUGGUGUUUGUUCUCCAAUAGAAAGCCCAACCAGAGAAUAUCCCGAGUUAGAGGCACUUUCCCGGUUAGAUUUAGGAGCGGCUAUGAAGAUUUUCUUGGCUAGGCGAUUAACUUCUGAGUGAGUACUUGACUGCAGUUUUGACUGUUAUAUGAAUUCACCAAAAUAGCAUGCAGCUUCUUGAAUCUUAAAAUGUUCUCUAUAACUGUAAUACUACCUCAUCUUGCAUAUUUAGUGCUUCUUCCUCUGGCUUCAAAUUUUUAUAGUCGUCUAAGGGCCCUGUUUGGCCCUUCUAGAGCUUCUUCAAAUGUGCUGCUUGAGCAGAUCUGUUUAAAGAAACACUAACAGCUUGAGUAGGUCUGUUACUUUUGAUUUUUGGAGUAUAGAAGCUGUUUGAAAAGCUAUUCCAAACAGGCACUAUGGGCUGAAAUAGUGUUUCUAUUGCUUUGCGGUUCUACAGCUUUUUAGAUGUUACCAUUAUUAUGUGGGAGUAUUAUUGGUUGAAAAUGGGUCUUUUAUUUAGAGGAAGCAGAGAAUCGGAGAAGACAUGCAUGUUAUCUCAUCUAAAUGCAUAACUGAUAUUCGAUUAUAAAUCAUCAACCUAUACCUUGUUAGGAUGUUUUAUUUUUUUUCCUAGUGAGCUUAUAUUCACCUUCUCACUGCCUUGCCUAUCGUUGUGAAGGUUUACAGAGAUAACCUCUACCAUAGAAGAAAAAUCAGUGAUCAUCGGUGAACGAAAUAGGGUCGCCACCGAGGAGCUAAAAAGAGCAAUCGAUAACGGGUACAAGAGAAUAGCAGUUCUAUACGGAGGCGGGCAUAUGCCGGAUCUAGGGCGGCGAUUAAGGGAAGAGUUUGAUAUGAUCCCCACUCAAGUCGAGUGGAUAACCGCGUGGUCUAUAAGAAACCGCGAGCUCGAGAUCAACUCAUUGCCAUUUUUGAAGACAUUGGCUAAGCUCUCUGGUUGGCCUUUGAACAGGUACCAGACUUUGGCUUUGCUCAUCUUUUCGUCGGUCCUCGCAGUCGACUUAUGGUUUUGGGAGCUUUUUGUGGGUACUGCAGUGAACUGGGCUUCUUGGGGUGCUUCUGAAAUUAGCCAAUUCACGGAUAACAUAUUUAUUAUGUGAUUAUAGGAAAUAGUAAGGUGAAACACACAAAAAAAAAAUGCAAAAAAAGGAAAAAAGAAAAAUCUUAUACAGCAUUUGAAACUUGGCUUCUUGUAAAGGGAAAAAGGUUAAUUCCUUUUCUUUUGUCUGUAAUUUUUACAGCAGCCCUGGGGAUGCUUAAAUACUUUUGUAAAUACCAUUUAAAUGACUCAUUUAGAAUCUUAAGUUAACUUGGAUUUGCCCAGAGCACUUGGUUUGGUUUUUUGAAAAAAAACAAAAAAAAAAAAUCAAAAGCACUUUCAAGCUUUCAUCCUCUAAUGAUAUAAAAUUGUGAUGGCAAUUGAUCGUUGGAGGUGAUUUUCACUAUAAUUUUAUUGUAUGGAAGGAGAAAAAAAAUUGUAGUGUUCUUGGAUUUUUUUUUUUUUUUUGAGUGUUUACAGGUAUGUCGAAACAUCGCAAUCACACGAAGUAGGCCUGGGUUUUGAGUAUCCUUGCGUUCGCAUCUUUUAUGUCUCAUUUUUACAAGACAUAGAAGUUCUAUUAUGAUCUAGUUUGGUAAUUUGGUGGUUACAAGUAAAUUUUUUUUUUAAAUACUGUGAAAGAUUUACAGGUUCUUUGUAAAAUAAAAAAAAAGGAAAAAAAUUUGGAAAAAAAUAUGUUUGUGUCAAAUCAGCUAUAUAUAUUGAAAGAAUACAAACGAGAAAACUUUUUUUAAAAAAUAUGGUAGCACCAUGUCAGCUAUAUAUAUUAGGGAUUAAUAUAUGUAAAAGAAAAAAAAUAAAAAAANAAUAAAAAAAAAGGAAAAAAAUUUGGAAAAAAAUAUGUUUGUGUCAAAUCAGCUAUAUAUAUUGAAAGAAUACAAACGAGAAAACUUUUUUUAAAAAAAAUGGUUGCGCCGCGUCAGCUAUAUAAAUUGAGGAUUAAUAUAUAAGUCUCCAACUGUAAUUUUAUAAUUUUAAAAAAUAUUAAAAAUAUUUUAAAUUUUUUUGAAUCUUCUAUAAUAUAAAUAUAUAUAUACUUUUAGCCAUCACACUAUUAACUUAAAAUUUAUAAGGUUUUCUAAACUCUAGGAUGCAAAAGAUGCAAGAUGUGGUAGCAAUUUCUUAUUACAUACUAUGUUUAUAUAUAGAUUCUUUUAAAUUUAAUUAUUUAAAAAUUAAAUUUGAAAAUUAAAUAUAUGUUAAUUAAAUUGAUAAAAUUUUACGUCAUGCUUUCAUAUGAGUGUCCGCAGCAUCGCAUGGGUUUCCAACUAGUUUAUAUUUAAACCAUGGAAAUAUCAACGCUUGCUAUAAAUUCCACAUGCAUCUUUUUCGUUCCUCGUUGCAUGGUCAUAGGAAUAAGAAAACGUCGCAACCUCCAUAUGAAAAUAAGAUGUGAAAAUAAUUUGUUAGUAAAAAUUUUGAAAAGAAAAUAAUCUGUUGCUCUCAUGCAUAGUUUACCUUCUUUUUUUCCCUUUGGGAUAGAAACGUUUUAGAACUAAUUACUUGAACCAUAGAUUAUUUUGAUUCGAUUACUUAAUUUUUUAAAAUUUUAAUUUUACUUUCUAAUUUUCCAAUUUGUUUGAUUCGAGUCGGUCAGCAACACUUUGACUUUAAAAUUUAUAUACGUCGUCUGCCUUUACAGAUUUAAAUAAUAUAUUUUGUACAAUUCUCGCAACUAUAAAUUAAUUAAAAUAAAUAAUUAACUUAAAUUUUGAAGUCAAAAUAUCAUUUACAGACUCAAAUCAAACAAACUAAAAUAACAAAUUUAAAAAGUUGGGCAGCCGAAUCAAAAUUGCUCAUAACUUAGAUAAGUUCUGCACAUUUUUGUCCUUUUUUUUAAAGAGAAAGAUAGCAAAUUAUAAAUUUAGCUAUAAAUGUGAAGUAACUAGACUUCGAAUCUAGAAACUCAGAUAUUGAUCAUCAAGCUUUUAGCCAACUGCACUAGGUAGCUCUCAUGCAUAUAUAGUUAAUUCCACUUCCAGAUCACUCCAUUUAUUCCUCUCCUUGAUUAUCCUAGUCUCCUUAUUCCAAGUCAUCCCAUCUCUCCCAUUCACCAGUUGAAAAUAGAUAUACACAAGGGAUAGUGAUUUAAUUAUUCACCUAAUUAUAAUCAGUUUUAGGUCAUUUUAUAGCCAUUGUAGCAGUUGUACUGUAAAUGAACUGAACACGAGCGAACUGGGCCAGUUAAAAAUUGACUCAGAAAGAGUUUGGUUGGUGAUUUACUCACGUCACAAUUGCUUGCGGGUCAUUUUCUAGUCACUGUAAUAAUAUAAAUGAGUCGAAUACGAACGAGCGAGCUGGGGCUAACUUAAGAUCUGCUCAAAAUUAGUUUGUCUUGAAACUAAUUCGAGCCAAAUCAAAUUCAUUUUAAGCAUGCUCAAAUUAAGUUUAGCAAGAUAUUAUUAAACUAACUACUAAUUAGUACUUAAUUUAUUACAUUUUGCGUCUGUUUACGCUCUUAAAAGCCAAACAAAAAAAUGCUAAUGAAGAACUAAAACUUAAGAAUAAUAUUUAGCUAUGCUAUAAAUUAAGCUACAUUAAUAUUUUAUAUAUUUUAUUUAUUGUUUUCAAGAAUAUCGAGCCGAACAAUAUUUAUUCAAGUGUUUGGUUGGCCAUAAAAUUUAUCAAAAAUUACUUUUAGAUCAGCUUGAAAAAUUAUUUUAGUGUGUUUGUCUAGCUGUAAAUUUUUUUUUCGAAAAACUAUUUUUAUAUAUUUGAGGAAAAUGGAGUGUUUUGCAUUUCCGACAAUUUUCAGCGGAAAAUGCGAAAAAAAUUUUCAUUUGUUUUUUUCCACCGAAUCAAACAAAUUAAUAUGAUUUUUUUUUCCUUUCAACCAAAUAAAUAUUGAUGAAAAAUUAUUUUUUUUUCCUACAAAUCAAGUAUUACAAAGUGUAAAACUUGUUUUUCACCGUAAACUUUUUUUAUGAAAAAUAAUUUUUUACAGUUUACGUACAACCCAACACCCCCCUUAUUAAUUUGAAAACCUCUAAGCCUUUUAUUACAAAAAUUGUAAUAAGGUUCAUAUAUAUAUAUAUAUAUAUAUAGAGAGAGAGAGAGAGAGUUGAGCUGGAAUACUAUUAAUAGUAUUUGAAUUUUUUUGCUAUUAAUUUUUUAACCGUUAAAUCUAUAUUUUAAUCAAUUUCACUCUUUAGAUCCUAUUAUUUAACGAACCACUCAUUCAACCCUAGAGGGAUCACCACAAAACCCUAGAUGACCAUUAUCAUCCUAACUUUAUAAUUUUUUCAUCUAAGGGUCAAAUACUAUUAAUAGUAUUUCAGCCCAAUUCUCUAUAUAUGUAUUUGCAAUUUUUCGAUAUCAUUUACCUAGCAAUUAAAAGGAUUCAAAAUCAAUAAUUUUUAACGGCUGAAAAUAAAAAUUCUAUAAAACGUGGUGAUAUAGCACUAAAAUUUUCGAUCAGAAAUAUUGAUCUUGUUGUAGAUAGUAUAAAGAAUUUUGUAUCAAAAUUCCAUCUAAUUUGAAUACUUCUAUAUCGUUAAACUUGAAAACGACAAAUAUCAACCAUUAAAAAUUAUUGAUUUUGAACGCUUUCGAUCACUAGGUAAAUGAUAUCAAAAAAUCGUAAAAAUUAUUUUCUAGAAACUUCAAAUACGCUAGAUAAAGUCUAACGGAGCCGAUCGUCGAUUCGAAAAUUUCAUCAUCGAAAACGGCUCAGGAGCACGGAGGCCUCCGUGCUCCUGAGAGCACAGCAGUCCUGCUCUCUCUCUCUCUCUCUCUAUAUAUAUAUGUAAAUAAGGUGCUUAAUGAAUAUUUUAUCCAUUAAAUAUAACACAUUAUUAAUUGAAUUCAUUGCCUCACAUAAUGGGGGGGUUGCUACUACUUGGUUGAUUCCAUAGGAAAUAAUUCAGAAGUAAUCUUAACAUAAAAAUUAAGAAUCCUUGCUAUAAGUUAGAGUUGUUAGAUGAAAUCCUACUAAAUUUCUUAUCAGAAUGUCUUGAUGAGAGCUUCUGCUGGAGCCGGAAGCAAAGUCCUUGAGUCAGAGAUUUAGUUUCUCUUGUCUAGGAAUGUAUUUAAACUUCUACUUGAGCUAGAAGUUAUAUAUAUAUAUAUAUAUAUAUAUAUAUAUAGAGAGAGAGAGAGAGAGAGAGAGAGAGAGUUGAGCUAGAAUACUCUCAAAAGCAUCAAGGGGUUGGUACUUUUGAGUUUUUAACCCUUGGAUGGAGAGAUGUAGGGUUGAGAUGAUGGUAGUAAGUGGUGGUAGGUAGAAUAGUGCUUGAUCCAAAAGCUAUUAGUGAUCAAGAAGUCGACCGAAGGGCUAGAAACUUAGAAGCAUCAAAGGGUUGUUGCUUCUAAAAGUAUUAUAACUCAAUUAUAUAUAUAUUUCAGCUUAAUUCUCAAAAUAUACAAAACUAUUUUAGAAGCUAAACCAAACCACCAUUCAUGAUUUCGCACCACAUAAAGCGCAUUAAACAAUGUUUGUAUCUUAUCUCCAAGAAAGUAACAUAUUUAGAUUAAUUAAGAUAUUCAAGCUUAAGUUUAUGAUGAGUAUAAGACAAGAGUAUGUGCUUUUUCCAAAUAACAUCAAUCAAUUUACUGUUCCUCCCUUGAUUUCAAGUCAAAGAAGAGAUCUAUAGCACUUUUAACAUUCGGAAAAAUAAUAAAAAAAGAAAAGAAGAGAAAAAUAGAAGCAAAUGAAGUAAUCUAAUCUUAUAGGGAAACACUUGUUAAUUUAAUAACACCAAUGAUAAGAAAUACACAUCAAUAUAUGUUUGAUGAACUCCUAAAACUUUUUUUCAUUACCGACCGUCCCUAGAGCAAGUGGCAAAGGGCUUGGUGGUUGGUACCCGAGACCCAAGUUCGAAUCCUAGUUGAUUCACAUUUCCAGCUAAGUUUAUUUCUAAAUAAAAUAAACGAAACGGGUAGCGUGCUACCUAUCUCUCUCAAAAAAAAAAAAAAAGAAAAAAAAGAAAACUUUUUUUCAUUAAAAUGCCUCCAAUUAGAAAAGAUCUUUGAUAAGUAAUUAGAAGUUUUAUAUUUUUGUUUGAUUAUCGAAAUACGAAAAAUGAUUUCGGAAGUCACGCAACUUGCUCUUUAUCUCUAAGAAGGCAAAAUGAUCUUUGAUAAGUAUGAUACUGAAAUUUCUUUAUUUUCUUAACACCAUUAAUGGUUUUACUGUUCUUCCCCUGAAUUCAAUCCACAGAAACUGAUCUAAACUAGAGUUCUAAACUUUUGACAAUCCAAAAUAUAUUAAAAAAAGGGAAGAAGACAAAAAAAGAUGGUAGCUAGAUGAAGAAAUUCAAUCUUAUGGGAAGCAUAUAUAUAAUUAAUCACAUCAAUGAUGUGUAUCUAGUUAGCACAUAGAAUGAUUUGUAAUGUAUCUAUGUAUCUUUAAUGAUAAAAUAAUAUUGUACACACAACAUGACCAUGCAUUGAGAAUAACAUUCAAUCAGUAGAGUCGAGUAUCUUAAUUUGAUUUCACAAUAAAAGUUUAUAGAGCUAUAUAUUGUCCUUUAUAUGAAUGAUUAGUGUUUAAUGCAUUUUUUUUAGAUGAUGUAGGACGCGCUUGCGAGAGAGAAUUACAAUUAUGAAAUGAGUUUAUCAUCACUUGAUUUGCUAGUUCAACAAAAAUUACUAAUUUUUGAAGUAUAUUAGGUUAUCUAAAAUAAACUACCAUGCAAUUUUGGUGUUUUUGGGGUAAAAUUAUUAGUCAACUCUUAUUCUUUACCUCAGUUAGAAAAAGUAGGGAUCCCUAGCUAGAACUGGUCUAAUUAGUUGACUAGUGAAACAUGAGAAUAUCUUUUUGUUGUGGUGGAUAUAAAAAGAAAAGGAUACCCCAAAACAAAAUUCUAUUUUUGAAGAGUGAUCACUAUUGGGAUUUUUUUUUUUUUUUGAUCAUCACUAGGGUAUAUUCUAAUUUCUCUGAAUUUGAUCAAUUUUUAUUUUAAAUUUUUUCGGUUACUUUUUUAACACCAAAACAUGAACUAAUUAAAGCUGAUAUCAACAUCUUUUUUUUUCUUUUCAGGAAAAGAUAGUAUGCUAUCCGUUUAGUUCACUUUCCAAAAGAACUUUUUUGGUUAGUUGCAAAAUAAAUACAACUAUACUUUUCACACAUUCUACCUCCAAUGAGUAAAAUACCACUCUUUCUUAUUAUUAUUAUUAUUAUUAUUAUUAUUAUUAUUAUGAGAAUCAAGAGUUUGGCUCCUUUAUAAUACUAACAAAUUAAUUCAUGCUUCAUAGAAUGAAUUGAAAUAUAUUUUUAUACAAUUUAUUGGGCAGGUACUGGAUUAAGCAUGAAUACAUUUAUCAGGAUUAAUAUAUAUAUAUUUCUUGUAGCAAAAAUUAGUUUUGUUUUCAAAACUUGUAAGAAAGAAAUACUGUCAAAAUCUCCUUAUUAGGUAUCAGUCCACUUCAACUACUCAAAACUAUAAUGUCCUUCUUAAUUAUAAUUCAAUAACCCCUAAUAAUAUAUUAAAAAAACAAAUGUUAUGGGCCUUCAUUCUAGAACUAGAACUCUAUCCAAGAGAAUAUAUAUAUAUAUAUAAACAAAUAUACUAUAAAAUGCAAUUAAAACACUAAAGUCAAAAUAGAAUGUGAUACACAAGAAGGAACAAUGAGGAGUUGGCUUUAAAUGUCUUGUAAGGAGAGGUUUGAAUUACUUUUCCAAUAAACUACUUUGGUGCAUUGGUUUGUUUCCAUUGCUGUCCCCUUCAGCUAAAUCUCUAUCUUAUUAUCAUUUAUUGACUCAAUGUAAUGUAAUUGUCAAAGUAGUAGUUAAAUUCACUGCCAAAUUCAAUUGGAAUUUCAAAUAUGCAUAUAUAUGUACAUACAUAAAAUACAAAAAUUUUCUAAGUUUGAUAAGCAACUUAUGUUUCGUACCAACGGCCGUCUAGUAUUAAGGCUCAUCUCAGGACGAAAGCAUGUAGGAAUAUAUUUCGUUGUUUGCUAACACCUUUUGCAUGUGUUGGAUACUAUCAAUAUGUGCCACAAAAUUAAUACAACUAUACAAAGAGCAAUGCAUGUGUCGGAUCGUUGACGCUAACUAUUAAUUCCAAAAAUUCGAGCUGUUAGAAAUAUACAACCAACUCACUUAAAGCGUAUACGUACAGCAAGUGUUUACGAGUCUCGAUUAUGACUCGGCCCAAUCAGUCUCAUGUCACUUCGAAUAUAACUCGGUCCAGCCCUGCCUCCUGUCAUUUAGAAUAUGACUAGACUCAACCUAGCCUCCCGCUACAGAAAAAGAUACCGGCCCUUUUAAGCCAACACAAUUCUACAUCAUAGAUGUAAAAUUUAGGUCCUAGGAUUUCUAUGGCUAUAGGAUUCUAAAUAGGUUUUAUACAUUGGAUCCAAAUAUUUAAAGCAUUAUUUUCAAGUAACUUAAGCUUUUGAAGAAUAACGAUUAUUGCAUAUUAUCCAACAUGCUAUAAUAUCAUUUGUCCAUCCCCUUUUAGCCAAUGCAACAUCUUAAACCUAUCAAAACAUAUCGAGCUCAGAAAUAAGUAAGGUGAAGCGUUGAAUAUAAAUAUUAAAAAUAAUAUUCUCUUAUAGCUAAAGUUUUUGAAAGAAAUUAAACUCUAUAUAGAGUGUACAUAUAGUAUUUUUGUUAUCAUUAUUUAUUAAUUUUCAUGACAAGGUGUUAGGCCGCUUACUAACACGUGGCACAAACCCAACAACUGCUUAAUUUGCUGUGAGGAACUUCACGUACAACAACAUUAUCCCAAGUUUCAAAAUAGUAAUUAAAAAAUUUAUAUAUAUUAACAUGCAUAUGACUCACCUGUUGCAGGUUUAAUUAAGGGGUUAAUUUCUAAACCCCUCCACACUCUUUCUUUUCCCCUCCAAUUCAAAAUCUCUCUCUCUCUCUCUCUCUCUCUCUCUCUCUCUCGGGGUAUACAAACACAUUUAUAAAUGAGGGGAUCGACGACGAAGCACGACGAUGGUGGUGUGUGGGGAUCGGAUCCGGUCCCCGCGCGAAGGGCGCUGAGCGCCGAUUCGUCGCCGAUCUCGUCGGCGAGGAGGAGGAGCCUCCUCAUCGGCAACGACGACGACGACGAGGAGGAGGAGGAGGAGGAGGAGCUCGUGGAGGUCACCCUCGACCUCCGCGACGACGACACCCUCGUCCUCCGCAGCGUCGCCCCCGCCGCCCCGGCGACGGCGACGACGACGACGACGCCUCCGCCGAUGUUCGCGAUGCGGCGAAGCGCUUCGCACCACCGCCUCCUCCUCCGCCGCUUCUCGCGGGAGCUGCGCGCGAGGCAGGUCCCGCUCGACCUCAAGGCGGAGCUGCUCCGCUUCUCCCGCAACCUCGGCCUUCGCCUCCGCGGCCGCGCCGGCGCCGGCGCCGGCGUCGUCGGCGCCGGCGGAGGCGGAGGCGGCGCGGCGGUGGAGGCGGCGCUGGCGGCGCGCGCGGCGCGGCGCGAGCGGGCGAUGGCGGCGCGGGAGCGGGCGCGGGAUCGGGCGCGCGCGGGGGCGGCGCGCGGCGCGAUCCGCGGGCUCCGGUUCAUCAGCCGGAGCCGCGCCGACGCGUGGGGCGAGGUCGAGGGAAGCUUCGAGAAGCUCGCGCGCGACGGGUUCCUCUCCCGCUCCGAUUUCGCUCAAUGCAUCGGUAAUUUUGCUAAUUAUAAUUAGCCCCUCAUUAAUCUUUUAAUUAUUCAUGCUUAUUUUCAUUUUUUUUUCCCCCUGAAAAAAAGAAAGACAAAAGAAAAGCCGGUCCAAUGUAGCUUCAUUUAUUGAAAAUUUAUAUUUUUCGUACAAAAUAAAAUAUAAUUUUAUAUUUUUUAUUACUUAAAAAAAAUAUAAAAUUGCAGGAAUGAUGGAAUCGAAGGAGUUCGCGUCGGAGUUAUUCGACACGCUGAUGCGGAGGAAGGGGAUGAAGAAGGAGAAGGUGAGCAAAGAUGAGCUCUGGGAGAUGUGGUCGCAGAUCACCGACCAAAGCUUCGACUCUCGCCUCCAAAUCUUCUUUGACAUGUACGAAAUUUAAAUUCAAAUUUAAAUUUAUUUUUGUAUUAUUUUAUAAUUUAGGCACUGGAUUUUAAGUUUUUUUUUUAAAAAAAAAAGUAUACGUGCUUUAUAGGGUGGAUAAGAACGCGGAUGGGCGGGUAACAGAGGGGGAAGUUAAAGAGGUACGUGAAAUGUUGAAAACACAUGAACGAGUCUUUCACUCUUUUGGACUCUAAUAAAAUACACGGAGACACACAACUACAUAAUAUUAUAGGAAUAAAUAUUAAAUAAGAAAGAUAAUUUAAUCUGAGACCAAUUAAAUAAAAGUCUGGGAGAAAAAAAACGGAUAUACAGAACUUACCUCAACUAUUGCCUAUUUUAUAAUUUAAUAUAAGUGCCUAAUUUUUAAAAAUUUUAAUUUUAUUAUCUAAACUUUUUAAUUUAUUUGAUUUUGAACCAAUUAUUGAAUGCGUUGUUUAUCUUUACAAAUUUAGUUAGUGUAUUUAAUGCAAUUUAUGUAAUUAUAAAUUUACUGGAACAUAAAAUUAACUUAAAUAUCAUGUCAAAAGAAUCAUCAAAUAUGUGACUUAAAUAAAACUACUUAAAAAAAUAGAUACUAAAAUCAAUUUCUUUGUGGAUUUGAUGGUCCAAUCAAAACGGUCACGUAAGCUCUUUACAUUUCUUCCUAAGAAAAAAAAAAAAAAACGUGAACAGAAACUUUUGGUAUUAAAUCUUUUUAGAACUUGUAUAUGUUUGUUUUUAAACAUUUUUUUUAUAAAAGAAAUUACAACAAAAUUUAGUUUGUACAAAGUGCAAACUUUUUACGAAAAAAGAAACUUACUUUGAUCUCUAAAAUUUGUAACAUUUUAUUUUUUACCAUACCAUAAAUGGAAACUUUCGUAUAAUUUUAAAAAAAAUUGAGAGAGAGGUCAUGGUCAUUGUGGGCCUCUCAACAGCUCCGUACCAUGGCUCAGCGUAAUUCACAGAAAAUAAUCAUUAUAUUUUAAAAUUUUAAAUUAUUAAAAAAUAAUAUUUUUUAUUUUUAUAUUUAAUAUUUUUUUAUGUCUGAAUUUGAAAUUUUUUGUAAAACUCAUGAUGUGGACUCGAAUUAAAUUAGGAAAAAAUUAGUAAUGCUAGAAUUCUGGCAUAAUUCGAAUUCAGAAUCUUUUACUCUGAUAUCAUAUAAAAUUAACUAUUGUACAACAGUUGUUUCACAUUUUACAUCCUAACUCCCUUUUUUUUUCUUUUUUUUUAAAAUUUUCCAUUUUUCAGAUAAUAAUGCUUAGCGCCUCGGCCAAUAAGCUGUCGAGGCUCAAAGAACAAGCCGAGGAAUACGCAGCUCUAAUCAUGGAGGAGUUGGAUCCCGAAGCACUCGGCUACAUCGAGGUUUGCAUUUUAAUUAUUACGAUAACAACAAAAACAACAACAACAACAAUAAUAAUAACCUCUCUUUUUGGGUACACCACACGCCUCGUACUUUACUAUUUCUCACGCUACUAAAAUAUUUCUUUUAGUUAUAUAUAUAUAUAUAUAUAUAUAUAUAUAUAUAUAGAGUCCGGCUAUGGUACUUAUAAAAGUACCAAGUAUUUGGUGUUUAUAAAUUUUUUACCGUUAAAUCUACGCUUUUGAUCAUUUUCAUCCGUUAGAUUAUACUAUUCAACCAACCACCCACUUAACUCUAGGAGGGCCCACAUCAUCUUAACCGCAUAUUUCUUAAUCUAAGGGCUAAAAGCUUACAAGCACCAGGCUUGUUACUUUUAAAAGCAUAGGAGCUCAAUUCUAUAUAUAAUAUACUAUUAUAUAUUAUAUAUAUAUAUAUAAUAUAUAUUAUUCAAUAAUUCACGGAGACCAAGUCAACCGACUUAAUAAUAAUGCAACAAAAUAAUUUGGGAUCAUAUUUCUAGAAGUUUGAGUUGGUACUUUAAUAAGCAAAUCAACCAUUAUUCAUUCAUAUUCAUAAUAAAAAGUUGUGUUGGUAACAUGUUCGCAUCCCAAGAAUAUUCCUACCCAAAAAAGUAAUAAUCUUGGUCAAUGUGGUGUGUUUCUAGUAGUCACCUCUUUGUCUCAACUUCUCCAACAAUUUUUCUAAUGCGUGGAAAUGGUUGCUAAACAAUUUUUCUUGAAGUAGCUAAUAUUUGUGGUGUAGUAAAUAUAUAUAUAUAUAUAUAUAUAUAUAUUCCCCCCCUUCUUUUCAAUAAUAAAAAUUUUAAUUAGAAUGUUUUUUUAUCAGAUUCUUUGAAUGUAAUAAUAGAAGGAUUUGUAUUAUUAUGCCUAGUUUGGUAAUACUUUUUUUGAUGCCGGCUACAACCAUAACAUUAAAUUAGAAAAAAUAAAUUUUUUUUAAAGUAUAAAAACGAAUACUUUUAGCCACCGCGUUACUAAACUAUGCGUUAAUAGAAUUUUUUUUUAUUUUGUACAAAGAAUUAAAAGCGACUUUAUCGAUAUCAUUAUUUAUUAAAUCUAAUCAAAUACGGUCAUUAACUAAUAAUCGUGUUCUAGUGAAUUUUUCUUUCAAUAGUAAAUUUAGCUUAAAAAAAAUUAAUUUAGAUGGUUUUAUGGUGUGACUAAGAUAAGCUGAUUUGGUGACGUUAGGCGGAGUCGUGAUGUAGCUUUCUUACCUAAACCCUCCAGCAAUUAUAACCCUUUCGACAAUUACGUGGGAUUUGGGUUUUGGCUUUUCCCAUCAAUCACUUAUUCAACGUUCUAGUGGUUGAACAGCUACCUUAUGGCUUCUUAUUACAAGUGUCACGUCCAAAGCUCCCAUUUUUUUUACAUAUUAGUACACUAUUUUAUAUGUACUUCUUAUGUUUAAGUACUAGUUUUCUUUUGCUUUUGUUAGAGAAGAAACUUAGGCAUGGUAAUCAAUAUAGGUCCAAAAGGCCGUAAAUGCUGUGGAAAAUGUUACCAAGAACUAAAGUGGUUGCUGUUGAAUAUAUUGUAGUAUCAAAACACCGUUUUCUCUGGCUCUUGUUUAUAUAAAUAUUAAAAUUAUCGUUCUCUGAUGAUUUAAAAUUUUAAAGUAAAACGAUUGUUUUAUAUUCUUUAUUCUGGUAUUGAAGCAGGAGGUAGUUCUGAGUUUGAGUCUCGUUAGAUUCUUAAUAUUAUUUAAUUUUUUCUUAUUUAAUUUAAAUUUAUUUUUUUUGGUUCAUCAAAAAGUUGCGAGUCCAAAUUAUUGGUGCCAAACUUUUAGAGAAUAACGAUUAUUUUUACAUACUUUAAUAUUUUAUCAAGACAAAAAAUUCUGAGUUUGAAUUCCACCGGAUUGCUGGUUUUCGUUUAAUUUUCUCCUAUUUAUUUUAAAUCCUUGGUAGCUUAAAUCUUUUGAAAACAACAGUAGUUACUAGGGUGGCUGCAGAAGAGAUCGGGAAUUUGAAUUCUUGGCCUUGUAUUGCAAAAGUUAAUAGGAUUUGAUUCCCUGUCUUCGAGUAAUAUAUAGACCGGUUCCAAAAAUAGAGUUUUGGGUAAGGGAUCUAGAGGGAACUUAACCAAAAAAAAAAAAAGAGAAAAAAAUGUUACCAAAGAUUAAAAUACGGAGUUAGAGCCUGUUUAAUUGGCCCUACUCUAGAGUAUAAUAUUUUUCAAUAAAAUAUUAUUUAAAUAGUAUUAUUAAAAUAAAUUAGUUUACUAAAAUUCUUUUAAUAGAUAUUUUGCUGCAACAAAAUCAUAAACUAAAUUGGUGCUUUCGCUUUUGAAUCUUAAAAUUAAUCAGGUAUGUACUUUCCACCAUUGCAAAAGUUCUAGAUUUUUUUUCUAUUUGCUGAACGUUCUAGUAAAGUGACUGCAGCUGAAAGUAGGAGCAGAAAAAGGGCGGAUAAAGAUCAGUGGAUUGAAUAUUAUUAAAUCUAAACUGACAUCCUUUUACGGCGUAGAACAUAUUGAAUCUAAUGUUUUUGUAAAAAGCAAUUAUGGGUCCCUAAUUAGCAGAGCCGUUGAAUCAUCCAGUUUAUGUAAAUAAGCCAAUUGUAGAAUGAAACACAAUUUUUUUCCACUUUGAGUGUAAGUCAACUGCAGGAAAUUUCAAAUUUUGUUAGAACUUGGUGGUUUUCGUCGAAAAACUAACAAGCUCUAAGAAAAGUUAGUUAAGUUAACAUAUUGUAGAGUUGGUUAAUAAAUUAAAAAUUCCAGGUUCAAGUACAUAUUUGUUCAAACCCUGUUUGCUUGAGAUAACACCGAAAAAAGCUGUAUUAGAAAUUCUUAAGGUUUGAUGACAAGUGAUUCAACUGUUGAAGCACAUGCAUAUCUACAUAACUUUCUGCCUACACAUCUAUAAAUUAGGAUAGAAACAUCAAUUUUCGCAUAUACACUUUUAUAAACUCUUCUAAAAUCUGUAUAUUCUGAAUGUGGUUUUGUUGGCAGUUAUGGCAACUGGAAACUCUCUUGCUGCAAAAGGACACAUACCUGAACUACAGCCAAGCUCUGAGCUACACAAGCCAAGCACUUAGCCAGAACUUGGUGGGACUAACAGGGAAGGGCCCUAUUCACAUUCUAAGCACAAAGCUCGGUUACUACUUGGAGGACAAUUGGAAGCGCCUGUGGGUGCUGACACUAUGGAUCGCGGUUAUGGUGGCGCUUUUCACGUGGAAGUUCAUCCAGUAUCGGAACCGAUACGCAUUCCAGGUGAUGGGGUACUGCUUGGCCACUGCGAAAGGCGCUGCAGAGACAUUGAAGCUCAACAUGGCCCUCAUUCUCCUUCCCGUGUGCCGGAACACCAUUACUUGGUUGCGGUCAACCAGUGCUUCUCGCGUUUUGCCUUUCGAUGAUAACAUCAACUUCCACAAGGUUAGUCUUUUCUUUUCUUUUCUUUUCUUUUCUUUCAGAUGCUAGUAAAUGUUCGAUUUCCUAGUUAAUAAGGAUAUCUAAGAAAGUAUUACAAGUGUACCUAGCUGAUGUUUUAGAUUUCAAAUGUGGAAACUUAAACGAGUUCUAGGUAUAUCAUAUAUAUACACAAAUCAUGCAUGUGUGUGCAUUUUUACAUUUGUUUACGAACAUCUUUCAUUUGGUUUAUCUACAUAACUUUUCUACUAGUUUCAUUUAUUAGAAUUUAGAACUAAAUAAUUCCAUAUUGAAUUUACAAAAUUGUGUUGUUUUAUAUGUAUCCACAAAUGAAUUGUAUUUUUGCAGUAUUUUGCUGUAUUAGUAGUGUGCUAACUUGUUUGAAAAUUUGAUAAUAUCGGAAAUGUACUUGAGCCGAAUAGAAAUUUCAUUGAUUUAAUUUAUCUAAAUAGACGUAGAUCAUUUAGUCAAUUUUCAAUUGAAGUUUGAAUUUGAAUUUGAUAUUUUAAAGUAAAAUUCUAAAGAACAUAUUCAAUCAAAUCCUACCUGAUUAAAACAUUACUGUGCUGUGGCUUGCAGAAGUUGAAUUUCUGAAUGGCUAAGAUAUUAUCGACAUCUUCCAACUAUUUGUGAUCUGAGAAUGGGUUCAUAAACCAUUUUUGUUUUAUUUCAAUUUCACAACUGAUCUGGUUUCCUGAUUUUAUUCGAGUUUCGUUAGAUUUAACAGAUUCCAUCAAAUCUGCUGAAAAUGUUACUGCAAAUCAAGGAUGGAACUCUUCUAAACCAUAGUAGGAUAGUUGAGUUCGGGAGCGCAUUUCAAAAUAAUUCAUAGUUGAAUGUUUUGCAUACAAUUUAGCCUUAUUGCAUCAGAAAAUAAUAAUAAUAAUAAGUUCUUAUAAACACCUAAAUCAGUCAAUAAAUCAAUGUAAGAUCCCUUCAUUGGUCUCAUUAUGACAGACCAUUGCAGCGGCAAUUGUGGUUGGAAUAAUCCUUCACGCCGGUAACCACCUCUCCUGCGACUUCCCUAGGCUCAUCUCCUCCUCUCCUGACAUGUACUUUCCCCUCUCCAAAGACUUCGGUCCGACAAGGCCCACGUACACGGAGCUCAUCAGCGGUCCAGAAGGCAUAACCGGGAUCCUCAUGGUCCUAUGCAUGGCGGUGGCAUUCACUCUCGCCACACGUUGGUUCCGACGUAGCAUAGUAAAGUUUCCUAAGCCUUUUGACAAACUGACCGGAUUCAAUGCAUUCUGGUACUCGCACCACCUGUUUGUAAUUGUCUACAUUCUAUUCAUCAUUCAUGGACAGUUUCUCUACCUUGUCCACCAUUGGUACCUGAAAUCAGUGAGAUUCUGCUUCCUCUUGAACUUCUUAAAACCAGUUAAGUGAUCUUUAAGUUAUUUAGAACAUGUAUAAAGGUUCAUUUUUUUCUGUCGCAGACCUGGAUGUAUCUUGCUGUUCCUGUUUCUCUGUAUGCAGGGGAGAGGAUCCUAAGAAGCCUCCGAUCUAGCUAUUAUUCCGUUCGCCUGCUAAAGGUAAGAUAGCUCAUACUCUUUCUUUUCUUUUCUUUUUUUGUUUGUGUUUUUGUUUUUUAUGCUUACACACAUAGCUAGAGUCUAUUAACAUGGAAAGAUGUUUGCGCAGGUUGCUAUAUACCCUGGUAAUGUUUUGACAUUGCAAAUGUCUAAGCCUCCGGCAUUUCGCUACGAGAGUGGACAGUAUAUGUAUGUUCAGUGCCCUGCAGUUUCACCCUUCGAAUGGUACUUCUCAAGAAUGUCCAUUCAAUUUCGAUAGUUGUUUGUUAAAGUUUCGCUUCCUCACAUAUAUGCUAGCCAAAUUGCAUCCCUGUAAUGUUGCUUCGGGUAAAUCUAAAUGUAUCCCCUUCUCUUUUUAUUGCAAUCGAUUUGAACGAAACCAGAAAGGAACAUGUUAUGAAUGAUGCCAAUCCUAUAUUAUAAAUUACUUUUUCGAAUGUUGCACAGGCAUCCUUUCUCAAUAACUUCAGCGCCAAGUGAUAGCUAUCUCAGUGUUCACAUCCGACAAUUAGGAGAUUGGACACGAGAGCUCAAGCGGGUCUUUGCAGAGGCUUGUGAACCCGCGGCGGCGGAGAAAAGUGGCCUCCUUAGAGUGGAUGGCACUACCAAGAGAAGGUAUGUACUCUUUUAAGUUCCUUUUCGAGAAAUUAUUGUUUACUUACUAUCUCAAAUAGUAAAUGUAAAUACACUUGCAUUGCAUGGAAGAACCAAAAUUUCUUUCUGUUAUUUCUUUUUCUGAAUAUCAAGGACUGAUUUUUUUGUGAUAAAGUUUUGAUUGAAGAAACAGAGUUUUUUAAAAGAAUUCUGACUUUCUGAAUUGAAUAUGUUGAGAAUACAUUUACAAAGUUCUGUAAUUGGUAAAUUUUCAAUAAUCUAGAUUUUUUUUUGCUUAAUCGAUGGAUUAAACCUUUGUUUUCAAGCUUCACCUCAUAAUAAUCAACCACAUUACAUUCUGGGCAGAAAAUAAAUGAUCAUUUAUGAGAAAGUUCUGAGCAAAAUCAGGCCUUUCACUUUGGUUGUUUAAUGUGUAACUAGUUUGCAACACAAGUAGCCCAGUGUAGAUCCAUUUGUUAAUAAACAGAUCGUCAAGAUAAGCAUUGCUACUCUUAUGUUUUCUUCUUUCCAUUAUUUUCAUUGCCUUGUGUAAAAUGCAAAUCAUUUUUUCCCCCCGUAAAUGCAGCGUACCAAAGCUCUUGAUCGACGGGCCUUUUGGUGCACCAGCUCAGGACUACAAGAACUAUGAUGUGUUACUACUCGUCGGACUAGGAAUCGGAGCAACGCCUUUCAUCAGCAUAUUGAAAGAUCUGCUUAACAACAUUGUGAAAACAGAGGAGGAAGAAGUGAGUACUUUUCAUUACUAUCUUAUAGCAAAAGCCGAAAUAAGCAUGAAACUGUUGGAGGAUGUGUAAUGAGAGAAUUACUAAGGAUUCUUCAAGCCGCUUUAUUCAAAUAGCACUUUUUAGAAGCUCUGGACAUAUUCUCUAUUAUGAUGUUAUUCCUCUAUUCUCUUUCAGUAGUUGCUUUAGAAUGCUUGUUGGAUUGUUUCUUUAUUGCUUGUUUUGAGUGAAAUCGUUGGUUAGUUCAAUUCGAUACAAUAAACCCAAUUGCUAAUUGAUUCUCCUUUAAUCCUAGGAUGCUAUAUCAGAUGUUCAUCCGAAUCACGGAGAUACUGAUCUGGCCACAGUUGUGAGGACUCCAACAAAACCAAAGCGAAAUCUCAAGACGACGAAUGCGUAUUUCUACUGGGUAACACGCGAACAAGGCUCUUUCGAUUGGUUUAAGGGAGUUAUGAAUGAGGUUGCUGAAUUAGAUCAAAGGGUAAAGAACAUGAUCAAGACACUUAAACCGUAUUAGUUUCUUAUUCUCUUCGCAUUGUUUAGAGGACAAAUUUCUCACUUGAAGUUUAAUGUUACCCUCAUUAGGGCGUAAUCGAGAUGCACAACUAUCUGACAAGCGUGUACGAAGAAGGGGAUGCUCGAUCUGCGCUAAUAACCAUGAUUUCAGCUCUCAACCACGCGAAGAAUGGUGUAGAUAUAGUCUCUGGAACCAGAGUAAAUCCUUAUUUCCUUUUUCAGAAUUGAUUGCUGGAUACAGUGGGCUUGAGAAUUUAGUUAUGAAAUAAUUUUCUUACAAAUUGUUGCUAACUUGAAACUCAUUUGUCUCUCUAUAUCAGAAAGACAGAAGUGCUAUUUGAAGUAGAUCUUCUUAAAAAAGUGCUAACAACUUCACAAUUAAGUCCCUCUCAACAUUUCUAAACAUUUCAAUGCAGCAAAAUUUAUGAACAUUUUGUUUGUUAAAGCUUCUUUUUUUUCACUGAGAAGUUGUUCCGGAAGGAGGGAUGAGAAUCUGUUCUUUAUUUUGGUGGAUCUUCUUGUAAUAAUAUCAUGGCCAGUUAUUCAUUUUCUCCCAUUUAUUAUGCGGAAAAUUUAGUAGAAAAGAAGGAAGAGAAUUUGACAGAACAUUUUAUUACUAAUGUAGGGUUUAAUUUGGUUUUCUUUGAUCAAGUGGUUCCUAAAGAUUUGCUCACAAUUUGCAAUAUAUCUAAGCUAUAAUUAAUACAAUCAGUAAACUUCUGACGUUUCUUUUGAUACUGGACAGGUACGAACGCAUUUUGGGAGGCCCAGAUGGAAGAAGGUUUUCUCCAAAACAUGCUCUAAGCACCCAUUAGCCAAGAUUGGUAAGUUAAUUUCCAUUUUCUGAAAUUUUAUAGUCUACUUCCAUCUGAUUCCAUCAUACAUAUGAAACAAUCUUUUAUCUCCAGUAGUUUAAUUUAUUAGAGAACAGAGUUUUACUAUUUUAUAUUCAAGUUUGAACUCAAAACUUUUCGGCAAACUUAAGACGCGUACUUAAAUCAAAUAUGAGGAAAUUAAAUGAGGCUAGGAAUUGACUGUUCCUAGCGUAAGUGGCAAAAGGGCUUGAUGGUUGGUACUCGAGACCCAAGUUCGAAUCCUAGUUGAUUCACAUUUCCAGCUAAAUUUAUUUCUAAAUAAAAUAAACGAAGCGAGUAGCAUGCUACCUUUCUCUCAAAAAAUAGAAAAAGAAAAUGAGGCUAGGAGCUUCAUGGAAUUCUAACCUAGGGUCGCAUGCUUUGAUACCAUGUCAUCCAAAAUAUCGAUACGAUAAUAAUAUGUUUAACAAGAAAAAAAAAUUAAAAUGUAAUUAAUUAAAUUCUUUUCCUAUUUCUUAUGAACUUCUCUUCACCGAUUUCUUUUUAACUGUCACGGUGGCAUAUUUGCAGGAGUAUUCUACUGCGGAGCCCCAGUACUGGCGCAAGAACUAGGCAGACUUUGCUAUGAGUUCAAUCAAAAAGGCACCACCAAAUUUGAAUUCCACAAGGAGCAUUUCUAAACUCUUCUCUUGUACAGCCUCUUUUAUAUAUAUAUAUAUAUCCUUUUUGUGUAAAGUAUAGGGAUUAGGAAAUAAGAAAAGUAUAGGAGUACCAGGCACCAUAUAUGCUUAGUAUAUACUCCUCAAAGAUGAGGUAGCAAAAGUGGAAAAAAGAAAAAGAAAAUGGCAGUUGAUUAUCUUGAAUGUUUAUUUAAAUAAGAUGGAGAUUUCAUAUUGCAAUUGAACUGUCUAUAAUAAUUCCUGCACAGAGUGUGUUGGUUAUUAUUUAGAGUACUAUUUAGGAGGUGGCAAAUACCCAAAGCCACUCGUUGAUGUACUAUUUCUAUUAUUAGUUAGUUAUGUGAAAAGAAAAGUGUACAUCUUACGAUUAUUUUAUGUCAUAUUUGUAAAUGGCAAGCAACUGCUAUAAAAUAAACAGAAUUUUUUUCUUUUGUUUGCCAGUCUUUCUGUUUUUAAUUUAUUGGCAUAUCCUUAUCAUGAUUUUAGAGUAAUCUGCAAAAUAGUGGGCGUAGAAUUUUUUUACAUAAAAAAGGGGUUAUUAUUAUUGACAUAUAAAUAGCAAGUAUUUAAAUCUUAGGUCUCUUCCCCAUUCUUUUUGCUUGGUUUACUGUAGUGACACUCCAGUUGCUAUCAUAUCAUAAUAGAAUUAAAUUGAUUUGCAAUUUUAUGAGUUGAAGUGAAUUGAUGCUGCCUUUUUUUUUGGAAUAAAAAAAGAAGUAUGAAUUUUAUUGUCUACUAUUCCUGGUUCGUCCUUGGUGAUAUUACGUAUAAUAAAAUUUUGGAAGGAUACUUGUGAAUAAAUGAUUUAUUAAUCUGUAAAAUAUAAUAAAUAAUGGUAAAUCUGAGCUUAAACCAAUAGAAUAAAAAAUUUAAAUAUCCAACGGCACAAAAUGUGCCCAUGUGCCGAUAACAUAUUGGCACAAUACAAUCCCAUGCCAACAACAUGAUUCAAAGUCCUCUUUUUGUUGAAAUUAGCAAAUAAUUAUCAUAAAAAAAUAUAAAACAAUUGAUAAAAAUAAUAUAAUAAGUAAUUAAAAAUAUAUAAAUGGUGGAAAAAAAAUAAAUAUUUCAUAUCACAGCAAAUCAGCUUACACAUUUUAUGAUUAAUAUAUAUCAGCCCACCACGGCACGAACGCAUCAUAGGAAACGUUACCGACAAAUUCUCGAUUCAAUCCCCCCAACCAAAAACACCACGCUGUGAUCUAUUAACUCUUCGACAUUUUUCGGCACAUUGAAUCUACAUCACAUUUUACAGCAAAUUGAACUAUAUGUCGAAUAACAGGAGAAUCCUCAUCUGCUUAAAUUGCCUUCGUUUUUUUUUUUUUUCUUUUUCUUUUUUUACAGGGAAAAGGGGGGAAAAAAUCAAUGCAAUUGGAAUAUGAUUUACAGACAAGAUAUUAACAAAUGGAACGAAUUUACUAUAACAAAUUCCGAGUAAUAUCAUCUGCAAGGAUCUCAUUGUGUCGUUGCCGCGUCAUCCCGCGCUAAUACGAGUAUCUUGGAGGCGGUCUUGAGAGCAGAUUUCGUUCCGAUUGAUCCGUAGAGGAUGUAAGCGGCACGGUCGCGAAUUCGGUGUCAGGGUGUUGGAGUAGUUGGCUUUGUUUUGAAGAGCUAAAUGUUUGGUUUGUUGAGGGAUAAACAGGGGGAAGAUUAGAAGCAUUACUGGUGCUAGGACUGGUGGUGCUUUUCUCCUGUGUGUUUGAUGAAACUCUAGAAGCUUCCGCAGAUUCCCUUCUCUCUCUUUCUUCGGUUUCCUUGAGAAGAAAGUCGACCCACAGGUCCGCAAACGACUGGCCAAGCGGGAAAGAAAAAUGUUCGUCAUUAUAUAUUAUGGAAAACUUAUUGCAUUAUAUGAAAUAUGUCAUAUAUUCAUAGUAAUGUAACUUUAAAGAGGAAACAACUUGGAACCAUUCGAUAACCAAGUUCCAGUAUACGUUAAUUUUUCCGAUGAGCAAAUAAUGCCACAACUAGAAAAAGAUUUGAGACAACAGUAGAAUAACUCCCAAUACAUUACAUUCAUCGGAUAUUUGCCUAUGUGGUCCUCUCUUUCUUUCUCAAAAAAAAAGAAACCCCCCACGUUUAUGUUCCCUGAUAUGAAUUAUAUAUGAUUAACAUAAUUGUUGUUAUCAUGUCGGUCCUCAUAGCGAACUACCAAUAUGAUUGACACAUAGACCGUAAUCGUAAUCAUGUCAUUUCUUCUACAGAACAAAGAACCUGCAAAGCUACUUCUUUACAGUCUGAGUGGUUUCCAGGCUAUUUAAACAUCAACAGGGAAUAUCACAAACACCACCAUUAACUGGAUGACUACCCAUAGAAAAUACAUGAUUGAGAGGUAAAUAUGAAAAUUCAGACUUUCAUAAUAAUAUAUAUGUAAUCAGAGAACUUUGAGCCAAAAAAAUAUUCUCACCUGAUUUUCAGAAGGCAUUUUAGUAGAUGUUUCUUGCGAGUGUCCGCCCAGAAUUCCUCCAACAAGACGCCCUGGUAGACCCAAAACUCCUCUAACAACACCUUUGCCCGCAGCAUGUUGAGCAAAACCUAUUCUUUGUUUAUCUUCUUCCGAAAACCCUAGCAUGCGAACCAUAAGAUCCAGAACCUAGAAUACCCAAAACAUACAAAUUAGCCCAUAAUCAUGUGAAGGAAUGGAAAACCUGAGAAUCAACACUGACAUAUGAUAAAGAAAGAAAAAUACCUCUUUGCUAUGAUUUCUCUGGAAAUAGGUCACCAGCAACUUUAUCACUAUGCGCCUGCAAGUCGCCAAGUGUCGAUUAAUUUUGGCUCAAUGCUCGAGAAGACAAAGUUAAAAAUACGGGAAAAUCUAUCACAGUUACUCUUAACUUUCAAAGUUUUGGCAUGGUUCACAUGUUAGGAAAUAUAUACAGAAUUAUCAAAUAUAAAAGCUAAUUUUGCAAAUUGUGUAUCAAAAGAAAUAAAUUCAGAAUGGCCAAAAAAUGACAAAUCUUGAUAAAAACUGUAAUAAAUGACUAAUAGAAUACCUGUCAACAUAAUUAUCUGAAUCCAGCGACAUUCUAUUCAGUGUCGUCAUACUCUGCUCUAAGGCUCGGCGUAGUCUUGAAUUGUCUUCCUCAAGCUUCUGCAUUGAGUGCCUGCCCUCUGCCAAAAUUCUUUCACUUUGCGAAAGUUUAGCAGCUAUCUCUUCCUUCUCCUUUAUUGAUAGUUCGAGCUGCUGAUUUGCAACCUGAGGACGAAAAAAAGGAAAAUUAUCUAAAAUUUGUAGGCCCAAAUGAUAUUGGCACAGGAAAAACCUAGACAUUUUGCAGAACAGAAAAUUAAAUAAAAUUCACUGGGAAGUGAAAAACUAGACAAUCUGUGAGAGAAUGGACAGUUCAAAAAAUUUCAUUAUAGAAAAGCAAAGUAGAAAAUUUACACUUAAAAAGGAAUAAUUAGCUCAGGUAAACUAACGUGUAUAGCCAUUGAGAAUACAAUCAUAUCAGCAUUUAAAAUCAUGCUAACUCUAACGCAACUGCAAUUGUUUAUGUAAGAUCUAUAUUCAAUGCCAGCAACCAAUCCUAACAAAACAUGAGACAAAAUUUUCCAUUCAACAGACUUAUCAUUAUUAGUUCUCAGAUACUAACAGCUUGGCUUCCCUAUUUCUUGGCCUCCCUAUUGUAGUUCCAGAACAUAGAAGAGGAGUUCAUUCAGAAAACUAAUUUGAACAAAUUUUGCCUUUCAAUUAACAUAGAUAAGCUAAGAUACCAAUAGGUAAUAUGACCAAUAUAUUCAGAGGUGACAAAUUAUUGCCCCGACUGGGGCCAUUGUCACAGAUGUUGAUCUCCAAUUCCCUGCAAUCUCUACUUCCAAUCUUCACCGCAAAGUGAAUGGCAACCUUAUUGAUUUAGAAAUUAUUUUCUUUGAACAGUGAUAUGAGCGAUCGAAUUGAAAGUAUGAGAUGGAAGUGGUCGAAGACCAAAGAACAAUUUUUCUUCAGACAUGAGCACUAAUUUUUCUUCAGAACUGAGUGGAAGUUCUACAAUCUACAUACCUUUAAAGAUUCAGAGACUUUAGAAAGUUCUUCUCUUGCUGAUGCCAAAUCUCUUCCAAGUCGUUCCUGUAAAGUGUAAAAAGGCAUUCACAUAAAGCCAAGCAUCAACUUCUGAUAUUCUGUAGAUAGUAUGUCUAUUUCAAAAUAACAAAAGAGAAUAAUCAGCACUAAUAGUGCAUGCACAAAGCAGUUUACAAUCACCUUAGCUUCACUCUCAGCAUAGUAUUGUCCAAGGGCCGUCUGAAGAUUAACCAGUUCGAUAUUUUUAGAUUCAAGUGCGCUCAUACAGCUCGUGAGUUUUUGCUUUAAAUCAUGGAUAAUUUCAUUUGACUUCUGAAGUUCAUCAUUUGUUAGCUUCUUAAUAUCCUCCCUCUUAGCUAUCUCCUGCUUCAAGGCCCUUUCCAACUGCAAUAUAUGGUUUUUUUGGUAUUCACAAUUUGCUCUGAGUUCUUCAAUCAUUUUGGUAUCUUCAUCCAUCUUUUCUGAAUCUUCUUGCUCCUAUAAAAUCCAAUAUAAGAGAAAGCAUCUUCAGUCGAAUUGCAGGUAAGAGAAUGGCAAAAAUUAAAUAAAAGUACGAUUUUCUUGAGCUUGCCCCAAAGCCCCUAACCUGAACCCCCCAACACAUAAAAUUGUUUUAAUACCCAAGAAGCCGGAGGAACGAGCUCCUUUUUGUAAAAGCGCAAGUGGUGAUCGAACCCCAACCUCAAGGAUGGCAACCCGGGAAACCACUUGGGCUAGGCCAGUAGUUGUUAGUCAAAAGCAUGACUUGAAAAUAAAAGGAACAUUAUCGACAAUCCAGUAAGGGCUCAGAUACAAAUAUCAAGUUUUGAUGAGCAAUACUGAAAUAAAUGGGAUGUACUUCUGUAGACAAACAUUUUCAAAAUAAAUAUAAAAUAUCCUAUAUAUACUUAUGUUGGGAAAAGCUCAGUUGAAUUCUGCGUAACCUUAGAGAAAAAUUGCACUAGGAAGCAAUAAAUAAGGAUUUGCAACAGCUGCAGUGAUAAUCAGAAUAAUUAAAAAAAGUUCAAAAUAUGUCCUUGGGAAACUGAAUAUUAUUAAGAGAAGAAAAAGAAGUACUUUAUCUAGCAGAUGCUGCUUUAGCCGAUCCAAUUGGUGCAAUGUUUUGUCACGUUCUUUGCGAGUUUCUUUUAGUGCUUCCUCCAAUGUAUGUAUGGUCAAUGACAUCUCUUCUUUGACCUUCAAAGUUGGAAUAACUAACACAUUAGUACUAAUUAGAAAGGAUAAAAGGAAAUGUUAUUUCCUUCUCUAAUUAAAGGAUUGAGAAAUUUAAUUACACCAUAAUUUUUGUACAAUAGACGAUUGAUAACAUUUCAUGCUGUCAACUUGUGAAUAUUGUGCAAUAUCAAAACUGGAGGUUUUGUUUACAAGGCACAGGUAUUGCCGAUAUAAUACAAUGGUACAAUGGUACAAAGGUAAUGGCGGUGAUUCAAAACAACAUGUCGGCUGCCGAUAAAUAUUCAAUCACAAUAGUCACCUAAAUGGGAGGAAAAACACCUACCUUGUGCCAGUCAGGCUCCUCGUUCUGAGUAUCAAAAGCUUCAUCACCUUUUUUCCCAGCUGUACUCGUCAUAAGUUUCAGAUUUGCUUCAAGCUCGCCCUUCUCUAACUACAAAAGAAGUACAUUUAAUCAGAAUAAUUUCAAGAAACUCAACUACCCGGUUAACGUCUUCAAUAAAUUUUACUAAUAGUCUCUAAUAUAAUAAAUUAAGUAAAAAUGAAAUACUAAUCCAAUUUGAGCGCAGUAUAAUAUGACAAAUUACAUGUUUCACCAAAAAAUGCUCGUAUAGACCUUUAGUUGGGCAUUUUCUUUCUGUAGAUUCAAUAUCACACUUCUCAAAUGCUGUAGAGAUUCAUCUGAUACUUCUUCACUGCCCCUUCUGUUUAACUCCUCUUGGACUCGUCUUAAUUCUGAUACUUUCUCAUUUAGCUCCUUGCGCAACUCUUUCAUUUCAGUUGAGGCCUACCAGCAAAAUAUAAGGAUAUGAAUUCUACAAUAGAAAAGGCAGUGGAAGCAGGGGAAAAAAAAAAGAAAAAGAAAGGCUUUUACAUGUAUCCCGGCAAAGCCAUUUCUACAAUAUACUCUCAUAAAGUAAUUUCUAACAAAAAAUGCGAGUAUGAUAAGUUGGGGAGACAUCAGGUUCAUGGGCAAGUUGAUUUUCCAUCAAAAGGAUUUCUAAACAUGGGGUUUUUCUGUAAGUAUGAGAUUGUACUUACAUAAGAAAUAAGGUUUCUGAAGGGUACAAGGGCAUAUGGCAAAAUUUAUUUGGCAGGAAUAUGUAUGAUAGAUACAAAAUUUGCAGGUUAUACAUGCAAAUAUAACGUCCACAAGGAGGACGCUGGAAUGUUGACCCAUAUUAUACAGGCUUCUGUAAUCAGGGAUUUCCAAGAUAUAUAUAAAGAAGAAUUCAUAGAAAGACCAACCUAAAACUAAAAUUUAAAUAUUUAACUCACCUUCUCCUUGUCCGCCUUUAUUUCCUGAAGCUCCCUUUCGAAAGAUGAGUUGUGCUGGUAUUCAUCUAAAAGUUAAAAUAGGAGAGAGAUUUAAAACUGGCGAGUAAUUGAGCAUAAAAGGGAGCUCGAGAGUAUACUGAGCACAGUCACAAAGAAGAGUGUAAGGCACAUUGCAUCACACUGUACCUUCUAACUUCUGCUUUAAGAUUGUUGCCUUUUCUUGCUCAUUCUCGAGUUGUGACCUCAAUUGUUUAAUUUGAGAUUCGAGAUUAGCUUGUCUUCCUGCCAAAGAUCUGUUUUUUUCUUCCAACACAUCUAAAUAUUCCUACAACUCGAUCAAAUACUGAAGUCAAACAACUAAUUACAUAACAAAGACAAAGUAACAUUUGUUUCUCAAUACAAAAGAACAGACAAAAGUGAAAAAAUAUAGGAUUGGUUACAAAGUUCGACCCUGAAGCUUCACCCCAAUUUUCAAUUUCAAGCUCAUAUUUCAACUGUAACAACUUAUCUCAGAAGUUUGACCCCAAUUUGAAUUCAUCCUCGAGGAUUCAACUUUAACCCUGAAGUUUGGCCUCGAUUUAAAAUUUUCCCUAAAGCCAUCCUCCAAGUUUCGAUGUAAAAUAAGGAAGUUUAAAGAUAGUAAUGACAUGGCACCUCUGUCGAUGGACUAAAGGGAGGGCAUAAUAGCUCGGUAAAACAAACUUCAUAGGUUAAAUUGUUGGCAUUAAAACAAUGACCCAAAAUUAAAAAAUAGGUCAAAUUCAGGGAAGAAUUUGAAAGUAAAUCGUUCAAACAUAUAAUGAUGUAGCCAAACUCCUGAUAUUUUUUGAAGUUAGGAAUACACUAAAGCAUAAAAGCUCACAGCCUCACAGAUCAUUUAGUUCAUUUGAAAUUUGAGGAGAACAGAUUAGAUGAAUCAGGCUAUGAGUACCUUUUCGAUCCCCAGUGAGCUUGCAGGUUUAUGCAUGCCAUUUAGUGCAACAGCUUGUGCAGAACCAUUGCUAUAUCCAUCCUUUUUGGGGAUAUUAACAUUCCCUGCAUGGCUUCCAAAACGAGAAUUAUCUCCAGUAGCAUGCCGCUGUACUUUAGCAAGUGAUUGUUCAGAAGUUACCUGUGAUAAUCGUCAUCAGCAAAUUUAACUCAAAAAAAUUGAUUGUAUAGCUUUCUAGGAAACUUCUUGCAAGACUAUUGACUACAUUUACAGAAGGAGACCAGAGGAUUCUCAUGUAAACCUUAUGUAUGAAAGGGUGUAAACAGAAAUUAGAAUAAUCAGUUAUUUAAUUACAGAGUAUAUCUAUGUAUAACCAAAUAUUUAAGAUCCUGAGGUAUAAAACCAUAACAAAAAAAAAAACCCAACGAAGAUAGUAAAAGAACCGCAAGUAUCAUGAUGACAUCAAAAAUACCAAAUACCACAUUGAAGGCUAGCCGGUCGCACAACAACUUGAGCCUUGAGUACAGUCUCAAUGAAAACAAAAUUAUUACGCUGAUUAUACCGGACUGAUAAUUUUUCAUUCAAUAAAGUUAACCUACCAACAAGCUGCAUAACUUACAUCUUAUUGCACAGAAAGUAUUAGAAAGAUUGUCUUCAGCAGAUAAGAGAUCCUUGAUAGUGUUCAAAAUUUCGGAUUACUUAUAAGCAUUCUGAAUACUUACUUUUGUUUCCAGACUUCUUCUCAAAGAUUCAUUCUCUUCAUGUAAUUUAGAAAGCUGCUCCUGUCAGACGUUAAAUAAAAAAAGAAAUAAAAUAAAAUAAAUAGCUGCCUUAGAGAUAGCUUUCAAAACAUUUAUGACAAUCGGCAGACACUAUUACGUGCUUUCAACUACAUUAGAACUUCCACAAAAUUUGGUUCCCCACAAUUUAUUCCUCAAUAAAUACCAGAAUUACUGGGACACAUGAAACUAAUCAACAUAAUUAAUGGGCCACAAAAAUAACUAAUCAACAUAAAAAGUCUCCAUUAUUUUCCAUCAAGAUGUUGCCAAAUCAACAACAUAAUAGAGGGGAAAGUAUUAAAAGUAAGCAUUAAUGACAAACUAGAACUUUUGAAACCAAAUGAUAAACAAAUAUAGCAUGUAUUAUGUAGUUUAUAUAUUGUCCGCAGCUAGAGGGACUAAGUUUUUCUACUAUAGAUAUAAGGAGUCAAAAAUCUGAACUAAGCUAGAUAAAUUGUAUUCAAUUAGACAAGAAGGAGACACUCUCUCAGCAUAUGAACUUUUGCAGAAGAAAACUUGAAUUUGUUGAAUCCGACUAACAGGAAGGUGGCAAUAAAGUAAAUGCUUCAGGGCAAACAUGACUUUUCUUUUUAACAGCAUAAUUUACUCCUCUGAACAAAUAACAUAUAAUAUAAUGUGUCAACAGCUAGAAGCCUAGAAACCACAAAAACAGAUAGGAAAAGUUUAGAUACAAUGAACACUCUACUUGAAUUUUUAAGUAAUGAACCAAUAAGAAGAUUUGUUUAAUUUACAGUACAGCAGCGCAGGAAACAAUCAAAUCCUGAAAUGUUAUACAAAAAGUAGCAAUAUUUCAAGGAUGGACCUCUUUCUCCUUCAACAUCGCCGCAUAAUUAAAAGAAAGCGCCUUGAUUUCAGCCUCAGAUGCUUGAAGCUUCUGAAUUUCUUCUUUGUAUUUUGCAAUCUGCCAGAAAAGAAAAGCAUGAAAAAAUUCCACUAUUGGUCGAGAAUAAUUUGUUACUGAAAUUUGAUAAGAUGAAAGGUCCUUCAACAUACUAUAGCUCGACACACUAGAUCAACCCUUCCAACUUUUUAACAAAGGAAACAAAAAUUCAAUAGUUUCAAAAUUAACAUUUCCGCAGAAAUAACAAGAGGAUCAACUCAACCGUAUUUAGUUUCGAUUUCAUUUAAGGUGUUUUACAAACGCUAAUGUUUUACCUCCUUUUUACAUAUUUUAUGAGUUAUAUAGUCCAUCAAAAAUCUUGAAAAAAAAUAAUAGUUAAUUCAACUUUUUUAUGUGCGAAGACUUUAAGCUCAUGCAUUGACUUCUCAUUUCUCAAGGACGCAGCAGGUACUUCGCAUCGACGGUUUGCUUCUGGUUUCAAUUUCCCAAUGGUUUACUUUCAGUUUUUUUGUAUAAAUAUGUUGCUCCUUCGCUGCUUCACUUCUGAAUUUAUCAAUACCUAAAUGGAAUCUGCAAUUUUAACAACCGUAGUACCAAUUAGAGGUUCCGGCACUACCUAAAAGCCUAUUUUUCAGAGCUUCUGAAAGAACUACUAAUCUAGAAAAUGUUUCACAGCCAAAAGGUCUGAAUUGUCCGGAUGUGCCGGGAAGCCGAGGUUGGCUUCUAGGCCCCAAAUCAUGAGCUCUAAUAGUUUGAACAGACUCCGCAUACUGAAAAAAUGAUAACAUCUACUUGGAUUCCCGCAACCAAGUAUUGCGAACCUCAUUUUAACAACUCGAAAACAUAAUUCACUAGUCACUACUCCAAUCAUCAAAAAAUUCCACCGCUAAUGUCAUAUCAAUACAAAAACCCUAAUUCGUGCGACGAAUUGGUAACGAGAAGAUUCCGAUCCCCAAUGGAGCCCAUACCUCGCCAUGAGCCUCGGAAUCGGCCCCAUUGCCCACCGGCGAGCCGUGCGGCGGCGUCGCCCGCGAGGAUCGCCGCGGGAAGCGGCGCGCAGAGACGGGCGAGACCUCGCCUCGGGAUUCGGGGAUCUCGAGCUCGUCCUCGCCGUCCAAGACCUCGCUCGCGAUCCGGGAGAGGCUCUCCCUGUAGUUGGAGAUCGAACUCCGCAUGGCGACGAGCUCUGAUCGAAUUUGGCGAUCCCCUUCGAAUCGAGAUUUAGGGCGAAGGGAUUAGGGUUUGGGCAGUAGAUCGAUAAGUAGAUCUGAGGAAGAGGGCGAUGGGGGGAAGGGGCGAGGACGACGAUGGUUUGGAUUUCCGUUUUUCUAUUUUUUUCAAUUUAUAUUUAUAUAUAUAUAUAUAUAUAUAUAUAUAUAUAUAUACAGCCACGAACCGAAGCGUUUUUAAAAAUAAAAAGCAAUUUGCAUAAAAAAUUCUCUUAUGGCUUUUGCAAAACUGGGCCUCCUCUUUCAUUUUUACAGAUUCGGUCCGAAUUUCAGCAAACUAACCAAAAUACCCUUUAUUUUUCUCUCUCCCUCUUUCUCUCUCCUCUGCGUUUCUCUCGUUCUUUUUUUUUCUCUCGCCAAAAGAAUAAUGAAGGCAGAGGCGAAGGCGAAACAGUCUGCUCGCCUCUCACCUCAUGCUUUCGCCCUCACCCUUGCCCUCGCCCACGCAUCCCCCACCUUCCUCGCCUCCGAUUCCGCGAGGCCGGCGCCUCGACUUUUUUUUUUUUUUUUUUUUAUUAUUGGGGGUCUUUUUUCUUUUCUUUUCUUCUCCGACUCUCCUCCACCGUCUCCGACGACGACGUCUCUCUCGCCCUUCCCCGCACUUCUCGUCCCUCCCUUUCCCUCCUCUCCGCCUUCGACGACGAUGCAUCUUUGCCGGCGCCGACAUCGACACCGUGGAGGUCACUGCGACGCUGCAGCCUCGAAGCCGGGGGUCCUUAGCGGCGUCGUCGCCGGCGCCGUGGCCGUUAGAAGAGAGAGGCGACAAAAAAAAAUAUAAAAGAAGCAAGAAAAAAAAUAAAAAUACAAAAUUAUAGAAAAAGAAGGAUGAAGAUGAAAUUGCAUUGUUAACUGUAAAAAAAAUUAUAAGUUGCACUACUUAAAAUGUAAACUGCAGCUUUAAGAUGAAAAUUACACUUUUUAAACGAAAAUUACACUAUUUGAAAGAUAUUUACAUUGUUUCUCCUUUUAUUGCACUCUUUCAGAUGUAAACUGCAUUCAUUAAGAUGAAAAUUACACUCUUUAAAUGAAAGUUGCACUGUUUCUCUUCUUGUUGCACCAUUUUUUCUCUUGUUACACUAUUUUUUAUCUUAAACUGCACCCCUUUAAGAGAUAUUUAUACUGUUUUUUCUCUUGUUGCACUGUUUCUCCUCUUAUUGAAUUAUUUAUCCUCUUGUUACACUAUUUUUAUCUUAAACUGCACGUUUUAAAAGAAAAAAUAAUGUAACAAGAGAAGAAAUAGUACAACAAGAGGAGAAACAAUAUAAAUAUCUCUUAAAUAAGUGCAGUUUAAGAUAAAAAAUAGUGUAAGAAGAGGAGAAAUGGUGCAACAAGAGGAGAAACGGUGCAACUUUCAUUUAAAGAGUGUAACUUUCAUCUUAAUGAAUGCAGUUUACAUCUGAAAGAGUGCAACAANAAGAAGGCCACUAAAUCCUGUAUCUGUAGUAGUGGAAUGCAACUUUCGUUUAAAGAGUGUAACUUUCAUCUUAAUGAAUGCAGUUUACAUCUGAAAGAGUGCAACAAGAAGAGAAACGGUUUAAAUAUCUCACAAGAGUGUAAUUUUCAUCUUAAAGAUACAGUUUACAUCUUAAGUAGUGCAACUUGUAAUUUUUUUUGCAAUUAAUGAUGCAAUUUCAUAUUCAUCAUUUUUUUAUAUAAUUUUUUAUCUUUUUUUUUUUCUUCUAUAAUUUUUUUUUUAUCACCCUCUCUGCCAACAGCCACGGCGCCGAUGACGACACCGCUAAGGACUCUCCCGCUCCGAGGCUACAGAGCCGCAGUGACCUCCACGGUGUUGGUGUCGGCGCCGGCAAAGAUGCAUCGUCGUCGGAGGCGGUAAAGAAGAAGGGAGAGGGAGCGACGAGAAGGGCGGGGAAGGGCUAGAGAGACGUCGUCGUCGGAGACGCUGGAGGAGAGUCGGAUAAGAAAAGAAAAGAAAAAAGCGAAAAAAAAAAAGUCGCGACGCGGUCUUGACGGGGUCGGAGGCGAGGAAGGUCGGGGUGCAUGGGCGAGGGCAAGGGCGAGGGCGAGAGCAUGAGGAUGAGAGGCGAGGCGGACUGUUUCCGCCUCUGCCUCUGCUUCGCUACUUUUUUCAAAAAAAAGAAUGAGAAAAACGAAGAGGAGAAAAAAAGAGGAAAGAGAAAAAGUAAUAAAGGUAUUUUGGUCAGUUUGCUGAAAAAGCGGACCGAAUCUACAAAAACGAAAAAUAUGGCCCGGUUUUGCAAAAGCCCAAAAUAAGUAGAUUUUUUAUGCAAAUUGGCCAAAAUAAAAUAAAAUAAAAUUUUAAAAAAAUAUCUUAUUUGGACCUAAAAUAUAGAAAAAAAAAAAGAAAUAAAAAAAUGUUUUCUAUAUCACUAUUUUCUAUAAGUGGUUCAACACUUCUUUCAAUAAAUGAGUAAAGUAGAGGUUAAAUUAGUUCGAACCGUAAUCGAGCCUAAUUUGAUUUGUCCAAACCGGGUCAUAUUCGGGCCUGGAUUGUGGGUUCGGACCACGGGUUUGAUUUGGGCUUACUAUAUGGCCCUUUGUGUUGAAAAGCUGUUCUCUGGACCUAGUUCACCACGUCGUUCAUGGACCACGUAAGCCAUGUGUGCCCAUUCGUCGCUUAUUCAAAUCGGUGUCACUUUCACGCUUUUAAAAAUUUAAAAAUAUAUAUUUCUCUUAUAUAAUGAUUGCUAUUAAAAAUGAGCAUAGCUAAUUAUAAAUACAAAAUUGGGUGUUAAUCUAACACCAUUAAUUCAAGGGGUAAUUUUAUAUCCCUAAUUUUAUUACAAUUUUAUGUUUUUAACAUUAAAAAAUAAAAAAAGUUAUUUCAAUUUUUAGAUUGAUGGAAUAUAAGAUAUAUAUAUCUUAUUUUUUGAGAUGCGUAGAUAGCAUUUUUCAUUGACGAUUACGGAAAUAAAACAAUCCUGACCUACGAUUUGAUUGGCCCAUUUUGAAACUAUGUAAUUUGAUAAUUUGAUGUACUUUUAUUGUAUUAUUAAAAUUAAAAUGAAAGGUAAAAUGUAUGGAGACUCCUUGAAAUUUUGCUAAUUUUUAAACAGUCUGAACUUUCAAUUUUGGUAAAAAGACUCUUUAAACUUUAUUAAAUAGUUAAAUAGAUCCCACUCUUUAAUUAAAAUUAUUAAUUAGACAAUUAUUUUUGUCUUACAUAUUGUAUAUAAUAAUAAUUUUAUAAAACUUUCAAACAUACAAAAAAAAAAAAAGAAGAGAGAAUUCUAACAUAAAAGAAAAGCGAAAAAAAAAACUAGAGUUUGAUUUAACUUAUUCUUUGUUCGUCGUACUUAAUUAUUAAAAUUGGAAUAAUUUUUUUUUUUUUUUCAGUUUUACAGAAUUAUGUGCACGUUACUUGAAGAGAGAGACCUAUUAAACUAUACAAUAAAGCUAAGGAAUUUAAAUUAAAAAGUUAAAGUUCAAGAGGUCUCCGCACACAUUUACCCAAAAAUAUUAUUUAUAUUUACAAAGAAAUAUUUGGAUGUUUUUUGUGAAAAUAAAAAAAAUACCUCAACAUUACUAUAAAUUUAUUGUAAAAAAAAAGAGUCAAAUCAUUGGAUUUAUUAAUUUACUUAUUAAUGUAAUGCUGAAAUUUAUCAAGCAUAUAUCAAUUAUAAGAUAUACAAAUAUGAAAAUUCGGAUGCAAUCGCACAAAUAGAAAAAUAUUCAGCUCUAAAGAAAAGCAUAAUGUUGUCUAUGUAUUUAUAAAGUAUAUUCAAAGUCUAUUAUUUUUUUUAUACUAAUUUUAUUAGUUUUUAAUACAAAAAAUAUAUAUAAAUUUAUGAACUCUAGCACGAAAAAUAUAAAAUUUAUACAAACUUAUAGAUGCACAUACAAUAUUUUUCAAAACAAUAAUCCUUAUAAUAAAAGUUCACAAAACCGGCCGUCCCUAGAGUAAGUGGCAAAGGGCUUGGUGGUUGGUACCCGAGAUCCAAGUUCGAAUCCUAAUUGAUUCACAUUUUUAGUUAAGUUUAUUUCUAAAAUAAAAUAAAUGAAGCGAGUAGCGAGCUUGCUAUAUAUCUCUAAAAAAAAAAUAAAUAAAUAAAACCGUGAGCAAACUCAAGUGGGCCCCCAAACAAUCAGUUUAAAAACAAGUGACACAUAACGGUCUGAAGACCACCUCCCAAAUUGCCUUUUUAUUUUCGAAAAAAAAAGAGAAAGUGACUUAUAACUGUCUCUAAUAUCUUACCUAUUUUUCUUAUUUUGCUUCCUAACUCUUGUUUUUAUUUUACUAUUAGAUUUCUACAUAUAUAUUUUUUGUUCUAGUUAAAGGCAUUUGGAUUGACGUAUUUGUAGAUUCAACGUAAGUCAAGUGUAGUGGUGUUUGAGUUUUCCUGAAGUGUGAUUUUUUUGUGUUGUUUGUUUUGACGUAACUCAUACCGCCUAAAAGUUAAAUUCAAUCACUUCUGUUGUUUGUUUUGAUGUAAUUUGGUGCUGGUAAAAUUAGUUUUUUGAGUUCCGUUGUUUGUUUUGAUGUAAGUGGAUCUCAUUUUCUCCUAAAUAUUGUAGUAAAUUUACCACUAUAAAAUUUAAUCUAUUAUAUAAUUAAUUUUUUUAUUAUUAUUUAAAGAUAAUCCUAAUUUAUUAUAAAUAAGGUAAUUCUAACCCAUUAUAAGGGAAGUAGAGUUUAGGUUUUACUGUUUAAUAAAAUUUUUAGAGGAGGUUGAGUGUAGUGAAAGUCGAGUUCGGCACUUUAGAGGAGAAAGUCGAGAGUAGGUGAAGUGGAGCUUUAACGUAACUUGAUUUACAUUAUAUUUUUCACUUACAUUAAAACAAACAACGGAAGUGAUGGAACUUGAGUUCCAUCACUCCACUUACACCAAAACAAACGGGCCAGAUUCUAACCGUCAAAAUUUCUGUUAAUUAUGAUAGAAUAAUAAAUAAUAUUAAUUUUAACAAAAUCAUGCCUAUUUAUGUAGAUC
This 74475-nucleotide long non-coding RNA is filed under the name Ananas comosus (pineapple). RNAcentral describes it as "long non-coding RNA (ACOM_LNC002446)". Lineage: Eukaryota; Viridiplantae; Streptophyta; Magnoliopsida; Poales; Bromeliaceae. The record is from RNAcentral.